RNAcentral lists this long non-coding RNA (48031 nucleotides) under Coffea arabica (coffee). Its description in RNAcentral is "long non-coding RNA (CARA_LNC006498)". Lineage: Eukaryota; Viridiplantae; Streptophyta; Magnoliopsida; Gentianales; Rubiaceae. The record is from RNAcentral.
AAUUUGGAAGUUUAUAUCUACAGAUAAACUUUUUCAAAAAAUUCCCCGCUUUAAAUUCUUUACGUAGGGAUCAACAAACUCAACGGGCAAAUACUAAGGGGGGAUUGGAAAUUUGUUAAUCUACUAUGCUUAAGAAGCUGUAUCUAGAUGAUAGCUAAUUUGACAGGUAUAUAUGUUAGUUUUCAACGAGUUGUAAUCCUGAAUUUGGUGCAACUUUUGGAGUAUUUUUAAAUGCGAUUGGUUUUUGUUCAUGGAUCCACAGGUCCCAUUCCAAACGAGAUUGGCAACUUGCUCAAAUUGGAGAUCCUUGACUUGGGAUGGAAUAGCUUAAGUGGUUCGAUACCAGUUUGGAUCUUCAACAUGUCAACUCUGAGGAUGCUCGACCUUUUUGGCAAUCAUUUAUCAGGCGUUCUUCCAUCAAAUAUGUGCCAUGGCCUGCACAAUUUGGAAGAUAUUCAUCUUGGUAGGAAUAACUUCAGCGGAGCCAUACCCGCCUCUAUUUCAAACUGUUCGAAACUAAUUGAAAUAUAUCUUUUUGAUAACAAAUUCAGCGGUCCAAUUCCCAAUUCCAUUGGAAAUUUGAGAUGCCUCGAAGUUCUCUCUCUGAUUGCUAACAAUUUGACGAGUGAAUCUUUAUCUCCCGAAUUGGGCCUCUUCACUUCCCUCACAGGUUGCAUCUCUUUAAGGAAAAUCUGGGUGGCAGACAAUCCGUUAAAUGGGGUUCUUCCGAGAUCCAUCGGGAAUCUUUCUAUUUCUGUUGAACUGUUGGAUGUAGGGAACAGUGGACUCAGGGGGAACAUUCCAGACAGCAUUGGAAACUUGAGCAAUUUAAUUUUUUUGGGUCUAGGUGACAAUAGCUGGACUGGAUCAGUUCCGACUGCGAUAUGGGGUUUGCAAAAGCUUCGGUAUUUGGAUCUUAUCAAUAUUUCCCUCACUGGUCCGCUCUCUCGUGGUCUCUGUGGAUUGCAGAGUUUGGAGGAUUUAGGCCUAAGUCAAAAUCAGAUUAGCGGGUCAAUUCCAGGAUGUUUCAAUAACCUUACAUCUUUGAGGUAUCUUGACAUAGCUUUCAAUAGAUUAACCUCUACUCUGCCCUUGUGGGAUCUUAAAGGUCUCAAGUGGGUCAACUUGUCGUCGAAUUUAUUGAGAGGACCCUUGGCUCCAGAGAUGGGAGAAUUAAAGAAUUUGACAAGGUUAGACUUGUCAAACAACCAGUUUUCAGGCAAAAUCCCCAGCACCAUUUGGAGUUUAGAGAGUUUGGACCGCCUUUCUUUAGCAAACAACAGCUUGCAAGGAUCAAUUCCGAACAACUUUUGAAUUGGUACCUUUGAAUUUGGGCCUAGAAAACUGGCCCAUUACAGAGUAACUUCUCUUGUUGGAUCCCCAAUAUACUUAAAUGUUCACUUUUAAGGGAUUAAGCGGUGACUUAUGUAUUCUUGCUCUGUAUUAAAUUAAGGCUUGUGUAGACUUUCUUGGUUCCAAUAUGCACCAUACCUGGCUUUUCCAAACAAUAAAAUCAAGCACAAUAAAGGUGCGUAUGCAUAUAUUUAUUGUGCCAGAACUAUUCUGAUUUUUUUUUUUUAUAAAAAAUUCAAUUAGGAAGUGAAAGUUUCUCCUAACUAACAAAAGAUAUAAAGAAAAUAAAUGUUUAUGGUUACAAUGUUAGCCCAUGGAAAAAAAAAUUAGAGUUGUCUAGUUCAUUUAAAGUGAUGGUAAUCUUUUUUAAUUUUUUUGUGAAUUCAAAAAAAUGUGGCCUCUUGGAAGGCACAUUUUCUUUUACAGGUGAAAAUUUUGGAAUUUUUUCUUUAAAAAAUGCAGUACACUUUUUCUUUGUCAGUACCAUCACUCUCACAUCAAAUUUGGAAAACUACAGUCGAAAGGCUUUUGGUAUCAUAAUUGAAGACUAAAGGUUAGUUUUGUUAUUUUCUUGUUGCUUUGGUGAAAAUAAUAUAGAAGACGUGUCUGGUGAAACAGAUAUUUGCAGCAAAUGAUUCACUUGUUCUUCCCGCUUGAAGCUCGUUAGUAAGUUUUGAUAUAAUUAAGCUAAUUAGUAGAUUUUGAUAUAAUUAAGCGAUUACUUGAGGAAUAAAAUUAUAAUGCUAUGGAAACACAGAGUGGACAACUAGCGAAGCCAAUAAUGAGUUUCUAAUUCUAUAACCGCCAUAAUCGUCAAUUCUUUCCUUUGACUUAUUUAUUUAUUUUUUUGAUAAGGUCCUUUGACUUAUUUUUUAACCUUCCUUUUUGUUUUUUGUAUCGUUCUUCGUAUUUCACAGUCUUGGUAAUUUGUUUAUUUAUUUCCUUAAAUGAAUCUGGCCCAAUUUUGACCAAUUUAUUUGUUGGCAUAUUGGUGGUUGAUGGUGGAGAAGCUUAUGUCUUAGGCCCAAAAGUAGUCUAGUUACUGGAUUGAGGCUAGAUUUCAGCUCAAAAAAAGACCUAGGCCCACAAAUAAUUAGAUUGCCUGGUCGCAGUAUGCAAAUACAGUCCAGGCCCAUCAUUUCUAUAAAUACAGCAUUAUGUGCAUUAGUAUUAUUUUGUGCAAAUGAACAUUAAAAAAAAAUGAAUGAAAAACAUCAAACUUAUAACAAGUAUUGUCCUCAUAGCAAAAUACCAAGUUAUAGGUAGGGGUAGUAAUCAAGUAAUCGUAAGGUCAUUGGUUUCACUCUCAAAAUACAGUCCAGGCCCUUUUUUUUUUGGUUGUUUUUUUUUGGUUGCAUUAGAUAAUUUUUAAGAAUUUUUAUAUUUAUAUAUAUCAUUGGCAUUCCUUGUCUUUAAGUUCGUUAUAUAUAUAUAUAUAUAUAUAUAUAUAUAUAUAAGUGAAGUCAUAUAUAUUGUACUUGGUAAGAAAGAAACUACUAUUUAACUUGGCUUUGUCUCUUGGAUAUCAAACCAUGGCCCUGUUUGGCAAGUGAGUUUUUUUGGUAUUUGUCUAAAACUUUACUAUAGUUUACUGUAGAAGUUUUUUAAAAAUUUUUGAAAUGUAUAAAUUUUUUAAUAUUUUGAAGUGAUGAUGUGGUUUAAAUACCAAGCGAAUUAGAAAUUUAAUCUAUGCUUAAGAAGUUGCAUCUAGAUGAUAAGCUAAUUUGAUAGGUAUGCUAAUUUUCAAUGAGUUGUAGUCCUGAAUGUGGUGUAAUUUUUGGAGUAUAUUUAAAUGAGAUUGGCUAGCUAGCACAUUAUUAAUUUUUUUUAGAAUUCUUGUAAUUUAAAAACUAUUACAAUUAAGGAAUCAUAACCAAAUGAAAAGGCAAAGAAGUGAAUUAGAAAUUACAAAAUUGUAAUAGUUUUUAAAUUAGUUUGCACUUUUAAUUCUAAACAAAAUCUCUCAAAAUUUAACAAUCUCUUUUUCUGUUGGUUACAAAAUCUCUUGGUUACAAAAUUGUAAUAGUUUUUAAAUUAAUGAAUUAUAUCAACCAAUUGGUGAGAAGUUUCUAAAUUUCAGCCUUUUUCUAGUUCUAUAAAUUGAAUAUAUAUACUCUACCCCAUGGAAACUUAUUAUUCAUGGCAGAUAACAUGCUUUUGGGACCUAUGUGAUGGAAAUACAUAACAUGUCCAAGUUACGAGAAAUUGGCUCUAGUAAUAACAGCCUGUCUAGAUCUCUCCUGGAAAGUAUAUGCGGCUGGUUUCUUGAACUUGAAAGUCUAUAUCUGCACAGAAAUAAUUUGGAAGGCCAAAUACCAGAAAACAAUUUGACAAGUAAAUCUUCAUAUCCAGAUUUGAGCCUCUUCAUUUCCUUGGCCGGUUGCAUCUCUCCAAGGAAAACCUCAGUGUCAGGAAAUCCGUUGAAUGGGGUUCUGUUGAAAAGUUUUAUGCAGAAAUCUCAAAGAUCUCUUGGGAAUUGAUUUGUCGUCAAAUUUCUUGAGAGGAUCUUUGCCACUAGUGUUGGGAUAACUGUUUCCAUUCUUGCUUUUCAUCUUUCAUUUGUUUAGACCUUAUUUAUUUCUCUAACACUUCUGCUCACGUUUGAUUUUUUCUAAUCGAAUCUUUUUCUUGUUUUCUAACAUUUUUCUUCCUGACUUCAUUUCCAUUACAGAAACAUACACUUACCCUCCAUUUUAUUUGGCUUUUCAUCUUGUAAGAAAAUUUGUAUCACACAGUUAUUAAUUGCAUGAUCAAUCCCAUCGAAGGGGGCAUGUGGAGCACUAAAGUACUUGAAUAUGCGAAUACCUCCAGGACCAAGGUGUCCAUUACUCCACGUGAAUUUCAGCCCGGAAAACCCCAGAUCAAAUUGUUGGCUUUCUGCAAGAAUGUCAUGAAAUUUGACCCUCCCACUAGUCAUGCCAUCACGCAGACCCGCCAAAUGCUUAGAAGGAGACGGCGUACGUACCAUUUUGCUCCGCAUAAAAUGAAAUACACGCGGUCUUUUGAAAAGUCAAACGAGCCAAAUUUUCCCGUAGUUUAAAUCAUCGUUAAAAUUGAAUAUUAAAUCUCUCUCAUAUCAAAACAAAAAUAAUUUUUUUUCGUUUGCGAAGGCAAUUACACCUAUUCCUUGAGCAUUAUUAUGAAAAAAAAAAAACAACUAUUCUUACUCUAUGGAGGGAAGGGGUUUUAAAAAAACUUGUAUGAGAAUUAAAAAGUGAAUCACGAAAUUAAAUAAAUGCACUACUAUACUUUUUGGAUAUUUUAAAAACAAAAAAUACUGUACUUUUUAUGUGAUGCAUUAAACGGAAUUUGAAUCUUUGAUCCAGUGCACAAAAGAGUAUUAAGUUGCCCCGUGUUUUUAGUUUUCCACAAGCAUGGAAUGGAGGACCAGCGGAAGGAAGGUACUGAUGUUCCUACAGUAGGAACGCGCGAAAAACGUUGCAGCAAGAUGUUUGAAAGAAGUAAAUAUGGAAAGUCAAAAAAGACAAACAAAGUUUUGUGGCUAUGGAACUCUGAAUUAUUUUAGUUAACAAAAAUGGCACGUACGAGGGAAGUGUCACAAUGUUCGUGGCCGACAUUGAACACUUCCAUGAAAAAUGUGGCGUACUUUACGGGAAGUGCCAUCAUUUUUUUUUUUAUGGGAACGAUAGAUGUCAUUUUAUAAAAAAAAAACUAACUUUACAAUAUCUGAGCAAUGGCCCAAGCAACUAUACUAAGUGUACCAAGACAUUUAAGGAGAGCCAAAAAAUCUCUCCUCAUCCCUAAAUAUGCUUAAAGCAUAAUGGCUAAUGUGAUUACAUAGAGUCAUAUUACUACUAGUCCUUUCUUCAAAAGAGCACAUUUGAAACAGAUUAGCUAAAGCUAGUAUGUCUUCAACCAAUGUAGCAGUAUUUGGAUUGUCUCAUUUCCCGGAUUUAAGCAAAGCGAUAAGCUGUUUGUUAGCAUUGAUGAUUUUGAUUCGCUGCCAGCUCAAUUGUCUUGCUUUCAAUAUUGCCAGUCUUACUGCUUCGGCUUCAUCUUGAAUAUCCCUUUUCGAACUUCUUUCAACUGAUUUCCAUUCAGCUCUGAUUCUCCCUCCAGUCUGCCUGGCUACAACACCAAUUCCCAGCUUCUUGUCCUCAGCUGAUUUCUUGGUAGCAAUUUGAAGUUCCAUCAGGUCUUCCUCCUCCCUUCCUUCCUCCCUUGAUCUUUCUCUUGCUUCAUCUGUUUCUGAUGUACUUCUCUCUUUUUUCCCUUGCCAUCAUGCUGGGGCAAUUUUGGGAUGUGCCGGCACCGCCAUUGAAAGUUUCUUUCCUUGUAGAGAAAUUAGCCUGGGAUCAACUUUGAAAUUUGAAUCACAGGAUGACGGAACUUCCUUGCCAUUAUUAUUAAGAUCUAUAUUGGCACUAGUUUUGGGUUGCUUCUAUGGUAGAAAGCUGAGUCAGCUUUGUACCGUAGGCAGAACAAAUGGAAUAAGGACAGCACAUGAGCAUGGGCCAGGCAAAGGACAGCGUCCGUGAAAUACCUACCGAAACCCGGCGGAAGGAGUUGUAAACAUGGGACCCACUUUAGUAUAUGUGUUGUAUUAUUGUAAAUAAACAUGCACCCGCACAAGUUGUGGGCAUGUUUUAUGAACCCCAAAACAAACUAUGGUUACCUGAUGAUGAUUAACAUCAGGUAAGCAUUUAUAGUUUAAGAUUGGAGUACACAUGGCUUAAUUAGAUGAUUUAUUAGAAACAUAAUUAACACAGUACUUCAAGAAAUUAGAAUCGUGACAUAAUUGAUCCAGUAGAUUUUAAUUUAAAUUUAGAAAUUAGAUAAGUAAUCUUAUAUGUAACAUGGUGACUUUUAAAUUAAUAUCGAAUUUGUAGAUGAGUAAUCAUAAACUUAAUUAACAUAGCACUUCAAGAAACUAGAAUUGAGAUUGUAGAUAAAAUAAUCAUAAAUUUUAGAAGAAAAUACUCUCCUCUUUGAAUAAUAAAAAAUUUAGAGUGGCAAGUAUUAAUCUCUUUUUCUUGGUAAUCUUAUUAAUAUUGAAAAAUAUAUAUGAAGAUUAGGGGAGAGAGAGAGAGAGAGAGAGACCUAGAAUGUGUCUUAUGCACUAAUAUAAUAUUAAGUACCAAUCAUUCAUUGACUUUUCUUUCUCUUUACUUACAAUUGAUCAUUAAUUCAUUUUGCAUACUCUCAAAACAUUAAGUUUAAAAUAAUUACUCAUGGUUUGGGGAUUGCAUCGUAUAUUUCAUGAAUUUUCACAACAAAAUGAUCUACACAAAUUAUGGCAUGCAUCUAGGUAGUUAGUGUUUACACUAUUAAUUUAUUUUAGAUUAAUCUUUUUUUAUACCAUCCAUCCAAUAUUUGGGAGCAUCCAAUAUUUAAAUUCCUGUUGUAUCUUACUAUUAAGAGUAUUUAAUUUUUUCUCACAUAUAUAAAAAUUAUGGUUUCUUGAGUAGUUUUGUUAAUUAAUUAUUUACCAAUUACUCGCCCUCCUUUCUGUGCCUUUCUUUUUUUUAAGCAAUUCAUUUGUAAAUUUUCAAUUAAUGUUAGUAAUUAACAAAUCAGUAAAUACUGUACAAAAAUCACCAUAUCAUAAAAGUUCUUUUACAAAUUAAAUUUCAAAUUGAAAAACCAAUUUUCAUGAAAAAGUACAUUUUUAAAUGACCAUAAAAUUAAUUAUUUCUUCAUACAUAGGGAAACUUAAUGCAACAGUGGUACGAAUUUAAGUGAUUCUUUGACUUUUGUUCUUUUAUUUAUUUAUUACUUAAGUUUAUCAAUUAUUGAUCCAUUUUUCACUCUCUUAUAAUAUUAAGUUUAAAAAAGUUAGCAUCUAUACCAAACAAUUUAUAUCAAUAAUGUUGUUGUCCACUACUUCAGGUAAUAUAAACUUUGCCAGUUACCUUUGGGCCCCAAACAAAUAGACAAAGAUGCCUUUAGGGUAGUUGGUAAUUAUAGUAAUUUGGUAAUUACAAUACUUAGGGUAGUUGUAUUGGCAAAAUGUGACUAAGCAAUUAGAGCAAAAAUUAAAAGUUUUUCCCUAAGGAUAAAAUGAAAGUUUAGAAAAUGAUAUUAAAAAGUUUAUACUAAUAGUGAUCCCUCUAACUAAGUUCUCAUAGAUAGUGAUUUUUUAAUUGGAAUCAAAAUUGUAGAUGAAUAAUUAGAAACAUAUUAACAUAGUGUUACAAAAAAUCAGAAUCGUGACAUAAUUGACUUGGUAGAUUUUAAUUUUAAUUUAGAAAUUAGAUAAGUAAUCUUAUACGUAACAUGGUGACUUUCAAAUCGAUAUCAAAUUUGUAGAUGAGUAAUCAUAAAUAUAAUUAAUAUAAUACACCAAGAAACUAGAAUUGAGAUUGUAGAUAAAAUAAUCAUAAACAUAAAUCACCCUACAAUCUCUUGGUAUUUAUAGGGUCUUUUGCUAUUAUUGUUAUUCCAGUAUAGCAUCUAUAGUUUCACUAAUUUAUUUAACCACCCAACUCAAUUUAUAUUAGUAUUUGCUCUUAGCUCCUUUAGAUGAUAAUAGGCUUUGCGCCUUUGCCGGUCACCUUCUCUCAACUGGGCCCCAAAAACAUUGAUAGAGAUGCUUGUGCUGAGCUGUACCUCUAACACUCUUUCUGCCUACGGUGGGCAGGUUGUAACGAUCCCACAUCGGUUAGGGAGGAAGUCCUAGGGCUGCUUUAAUAGCCUGUCGUGGUCUCUCCCACCUGACCGAGGCCUUUUGGAGGGGUGCUGGGCUUCUUGACCUGCGGGCUUGGGCUCUUCACUUGUUGUGGGUAUAACCCCACCUCCAGGAACAAAACCCACGGCCCAAUGGGGCGGUUAACUGUGGGACAAUAUUGGUCAGGGGCGUUAGAGUUGGUAUCAGAGCCGACUCCCGACCCCGGUGUGCCAGCGAGGACACUGGGUCUCCUAAGGGGGGUGGAUUGUAACGAUCCCACAUCGGCUAGGGAGGAAGUCCUGGGGCUGCUUUAAUAGCCUGUCGUGGUCUCUCCCACCUGACCGAGGCCUUUUGGAGGGAUGCUGGGUUUCUUGACCUGCGGGCUUGGGCUCUUCACUUGUUGUGGGUAUAACCCCACCUCCAGGAACAAAACCCACGGCCCAAUGGGGCGGUUAACUGUGGGACAAUAUUGGUCAGGGGCGUUAGACAGGUCAACCAACUUUCCACCAUAGAAGCAACCCUAGUUUUGUGGUUUCAUCAAUUUUCAUCAAGGGAUUUGUGAUUGUGACAUCUUUCGAACUGCAUCCUUUGUUAUAUUUUGUAACUUAGAUAAAAAAAAAUUUAUUCACACUCCAUUCUUUAUUAUUUACACUCCCAUCAUUUAUUUUAUCAUAUAAUUUAAUAAAUAAAAAUUAUAUGAUUAAAAUGAUAGUGAAAGUGUGAUUAAUCAAAAUGGGAGUGCAAACAGCAUUUUUUCGAUAAAAAUAAAAUACUUUUUAAAGAUGUGAUCAAUUUUAAAUCAUUAAAUCAAAAAACACAAACUUUUAGUAUUGAUCGAUAUGGGGUUUGCAUGAAUAGGAUUAAUGUCAUUUGACCUCUCUCAAGUGAACUUUGAUUUGGUUUCAAACUUGCAAAAUCUUCUAAAGGUAGUUCCUUACCAUCUUUGACUGUUCAAUAAUGUGAUAUACCCAUUGUCUUUUGAAGGGUCAAACAAACUAUAGAUCUUUCUAUAGUUUAAGUUAUCAUCAAAGUUGGAUAUUAAGUUUUUACCAUUCAUAUAACACCAACUAAUUAAUAAAAAUCUUUAGUUUCCACAAGUCUUUGCCAAAAUUUCCACGUCAACUGGCAUGUCAAAUAUGGAGAUAAUCUUUUUUCCCUCGUCACAAAGUACUUGUUAGCGGCAGAACUUUUGGGAAGAAAAUGCAUGUGUAAGCUAAGGGUAUUUGUUAUCAAAUGACAAGUUGCACAACAAAUGAAUGUCCAGUAAUCGAAACCAUAAGUUGUAUGUACAUAUGAACAAACUGUAAGUACUAAAUCACAAGGUGUUCAAACAUAAAAACCAAUUAACUGGACGUAGGAAUAAAAUGGAUGGUACAAGUUAAUACAUUAUUAAUUUUUUUAGAUUUCUUUUAAUUUAAACUUACCACAAUUAAGGAAUCCUAAUCAAAGGAAAAAAAAAAAAGAAAAGAGGAAAGUCAACCUUUUUCCACCUUGCAUUAAUUUUGGAAGACAUAGAUGUUAAAGUCUUACAUACCUCUCUUGAGGUUUAGUCUUGUUUAGGUAUCAAAAAUUUACACUUGCUCUCUUAGCAAGGCAAUUGCUAUGACAACCUUGAAAAGAAUACUUAUGCCCAAAUUUGCAAAAAUCAAAAAGCAAAACAAAAACAGAAGAUCGAGAACAUAAUAUGAUGAUUGAAAUAAUUUUUUUAAAACCACAUGAGGGUAUUGCAAAUUAGAGUACAAUUUGAUGAUGUCGUCAUUAAUUUUGGGUUUGUUUUGUUUAAAAAUGCAAAUUUCAAUAUCCGAGGAAUUUUUAUCAAACUGUGCUAAAUCUUGGAGGAGAUGUAAGGAAUUAUCCUGUAAAUGCAAGUGCAGAUGCUAUUGCAAAUUUCCAUCAAAAUUCAAUGUUUUAUGAAGCUAUGCUAAAUCUUUUUGACUGACUUGGUGACUUCUGUUGGCAAGACUAUAUCUAUUGUGCUAAUACAUAUGCUAUAGGGUAAAUUACAUAUAACUCUCUUGUGGUUUUGUCUAUUGCCACAUGAUUUCCUAACAUUUCAAAAUGUUCACUUCACCCCCAAUAAUUUUUUUGUCAUAAAGUGGAAACUUGACAAAAAAUAACCUAUGCAAUGCCAUUAAUUGAAAUAUCAAUAGCGCCCUUAUUUAAAUGCUAAAUCAAUUGCUGACUUAACUACCUUAUUUAAAAGUAUAGGAAAAUAAAAAUUACGUGGACAAAUGCAAAAAUCGUAGGGGGAUAACGUGGAUAUUUUUACAAACUAUAAAGGAGUUAUAUGGAGAUUAAAAUUUUAUCGCAUACGCUUUUAGAGCACGUUGGUAUAAAUAUCGUAACUAAUUGUGCAUAUAAAAUCAUAUAGGGGUUCUGCAACUAUUUUGAAACCUUAGAGGGGUUAUUUGGCAUCACGUAAAAUCAGAGGGGGAUUACAAGUAAUUUACCCUAUAUUAGACGGUGGGACUAAAACUUAAUAGAACUGAUGGAUUUGAUUAAAACCAUAAAGGUUGUUCAUAACAUCUAACAGUAAUUUUACCUUUGACGGUUCAAUAAUGUGACAUGCAUUUCAACUUUUGAAGGGUGAAAUAAGCCAAGUCUUCUUAUUGUUUAAGUCGUCAUCAAAGUUGGAUAUUAAAUUUUUUUUUUAGUUGGACAUUAAGAUUCUACCGCUUAUAUAGCAUCAACUAAUCAAUAAAAAUCUGUAGUUUCCACGCAUCUUUGCCAAAAUUGAUUGGAAUGCAUGUUGUGGCAGACAAAAACAAAAAGGUGAUUGGAAUGUCUCAUUUGCGUCGACUAAGCUUCAUUGCUUUAGGCAACAAUAAUCUCACGGGAGAAAUUCCAUCAUGGUUGGGUAUCUUGGAUAGACUUCAAUACUUGUCCCUAAGAAACAAUUCGUUUGUUGGCCAUCUUCUUGCUAACAUAUGCGACAAUCUUCCAAAUCUAAAAGAGCUCGAUCUGUCUUGGAAUCGAUUGAGUGGUCAAAUGCUAUCAGGUUUAUCAAAGUGCUCCGGACUCAAGUCGUUAGAUUUGUCAUCCAACCAGUUCAACGGUUACAUACCAAAAGCGGUGGGGAACUUGAAAAUGCUUGAGGAGCUACAUCUCGGUGAUAACAAAUUGGAAUGUUACUUUCUUGUUUUCUUAUUCUUUAUUCAGUUCCAUAUUUACAUUUUGUCCCUUUAAACAUUUAUUUCAAAUUAAAGAGAUUUAGGUGUUUAGGUGAUCUUCUGAAACGAAAUUCUGAAUCUACCCACGAAAACAGCAACAUGGUUUUAUGCCACCCACAAUCUUCAAAACCUCCACAUUGGAAUUUGUUGAUUUUGCAGUAUUCCAAAUGUAAAAGAGCUCUGGACUUUGAAAAUGUAUCGUGUUUGUCAUUCAACCAAAAGAAGUUGGUAUUUUUGUGCUACUUUAGUUGCUCUGCUUGUCCGUAUCCAUGUUUCACUAUUAAAUGAUUACUGAAUUUCAAAAUUGGCGUACUAAGUUUUGGCGUUACUUGCGGCUCACCCAGUGGACUGCGAACCUUAUUGCAUUUUUGUCCCUUAGAAAAGUUUUAUAGGCAGUUUACUUCCUCUUCAUAUUUCUCGUCAAAAUUACUCUUGCUUUCAAUUACUUCUAUUUUUCUCUUCCCUUUAAUUCUUUUGUCUCUUUUAGUUUUCCAAUUAAUUUUCUUCAUUUCCCCGUUCUCUCUUGCCACUUAUAAUCAAAUAUAUAAUGGUCAACCAUUGAUUAAUCACAAAUUUAUUUUUGUAGAUAUCCCUGAAUAAAUUAGCUUCUGUAUUAAAAAUGAUUGUAACAGAAGAAACAAACAAAGUACAUAACCUGUAUUAUAACUUGGAGAUUUUAAUUACUACUAGUAAAAAAUGAAUAAAUAAAAAUUUAUGACAAAAAAUAAAAGAGUGGACUAAAGAAUAAUAAAAAAGCUAAAAUUCCAUAAAAUAAUAAGAUAUAUGUUGCUUGUAUAAUAAAGCACAUUCAACUUAGAAAUCAUAUUUAUUUUGGCACAUGUGGAUCAAUAAGAGGUUGAUUAAUCAAUUUUUAACAGUAAGAAAUUGCUCAGUAAUGGCAAGACAGAAAUGAAAAAAUACAAGAAAAAGAAGAGAAAAAAGAAGUAAAAUGAGUAGAAUAGCAAAGGUAAUAUUCUUCUGAAACAUGAAAAAAGGGAUAAGUUACUUAAUAAUAUAUUAUUUUUCUUUUGGAAGGGUGAGGGGUGAGCAAUGUGCAAAUAGUUUAUGAAAAUAGACUAUAACUACUAAUUCAACUGCUAGGCGGGGCAUAUUGUAAGAAUAUAAGGGCAUUAUUGUCUUUUUAAUUGAUCCACUAGUGAGGGACUAAAAGUAAAUCAAAAUUAAUGCUAAGGCUUAUUUAUAAUUAAAACUAUUCUUUAUGUAUUGCUCUAUUUAAAUUUUGUCCUGUUUGGAAGUGUAGUUUUUUAGCAAGUUUGUAUAAAACUAGUUUUUUAACAACUUUUGCUACAGGAAUUUCAAAAAACUUCCCAAAAUUUUUUACGUACACACUUCAAAAAUCUAAUACACAAAAAAUUUCCCUUCAACUUUUCUUCUUUUUCCUCCCUUACCCAACCCACCACGCCAGCCACCACCUCCACCACAUCUCCCAGUGCCGGCCACCUAUUCCGGCGCCGGUCACCUCAAAAGUUUUUUUUCUGUCUCUCUCCCUCACCCCCUCUCCUUCCCUCCCCUCUUCCCCUCUCCCUCCCCCGCCACCCUCCCCCUCCCACUAGUUGCGAUCUGGUCGCGCGACCAGAUCGCAAAAGGAGAGGGGGAGGGUGGCGGGGGAGGGAGAGGGGGAGAGAAAAAGCUAAAAAUAAAAAUAAAAAUCCAUGGCCGGCCUUCCUCUGGCGUCAGAGUGCGAGGGGGAGGGGGAGGGGAGAGGAGAGGGAGAGGGGAGGAAAGGGGUGGCGAGGAAGGGAGAGGGAGGGGGGAGAGGAGAAAAGCAAAAAAAAGAAAAAAAAAAGUUUGUAUGUGUUUGCAGAGUUCGGGAGAGGGAACAGGGGAGGGGGAAGGGGAAGGGAGAAGAAGCGGGAAGGGAGGAAGGAAAAGAAAAAAAAAAGAAAAAAAAGCUUUUUUAUCUUACAAAGUUUUUCUACAAUUUCUACAGUAAUCUACAGUAAAGUUUUAUACAAACACCCAAAAAACUCACCUUCCAAACAGGCCCGUAAUUCUGGUGCUACAAAUCUCUUUGAUUUUGGGCCUUGUAAACAUUUAUCUCUGAUUUCAGGCCCCAAAAGAAAAAAAGCAUACACUUAGUUCUAACGAAUUGGUGGUAAUUCCUCCAAGUGUCGCAGGUAGCAUUCCGGAAGAGAUAGGCAAUCUGCAGAGCUUGAGGGUCUUGUCCAUAACAAGCAGCAAUUUGAGUGGAUCAAUACCCAGGGAAAUCGGAAACCUAACUAUGCUUGAAGGAGUAGAUUUUUCUAACAACAGCCUUACAGGUAACAAAGUGGUGAGAAGUUUCUAAUUUCUGCUGGUUCUAUUAACAAUUGUUAGCAGAUUGGUGCGACAGAAUAUAUAUAUAUAUAUAUGCUUGAAUUAAAUUUUUUUUUAAGUGGGUGGUUUUAUUAUUAUUAUUAUUAUUUGUUGGUUCAGCUAGUCAGCAACAGUAGUAUUAAUCCAAAACUGUUUUAGUGGGAAAAUUUGCUUUAAUUUUGACAUGAAAUUAAUGAACUUCAAGUUGCCAAAAAUCCCCUUUUUAAAUUUUUUUUUUGAAUUUUGUCAAUUUUAGAUAUACAAUUUUCAUCAGUGGAAUUAUAUAACAUGUCGAUACAAUAAACUUCCUGAAUUUGGAACUUUAUAUAUAUAGAUAAACAAUUUGAAUGGCCAAAUGCCGUAAAGCUUUUUUAAAAAAUUCCCCGCUAUAAAUUCUUUACAUAGGGAUCAACAAACUCAAUGGGCAAAUACCAAGGGGGGAUUGGAAAUUUGUUAAUCUACUAUGCUUAAAAAGUUGUAUCUAGAUGAUAGCUAAUUUGAUAGGUAUAUAUGUUAAUUUUCAAUGAGUUGUAGCCCUGAAUUUGGUGCAACUUUUGGAGUAUAUUUAAAUGAGAUUGGUUUUGUUCAUGAAUCGACAGGUUCGAUUCCAAACGAGAUUGGCAACUUGCUCAAAUUGGAAAGCCUUGCCUUGGCUGAUAAUAGCUUAAGUGGUUCAAUACCGGUUUGGAUCUUCAACAUGUCAACUCUGAGGAUGCUCGACCUUUUUGGCAAUCAUUUAUCAGGCGUUCUUCCAUCAAAUAUGUGCCAUGGCCUGCACAAUUUGGAAGAUAUUCAUCUUGGUAGGAAUAACUUCAGCGGAGCCAUACCCGCCUCUAUUUCAAACUGUUCGAAACUAAUUGAAAUAUAUCUUUUUGAUAACAAAUUCAGUGGUCCAAUUCCCAAUUCCCUUGGAAAUUUGAGACGUCUCGAAGUUCUAUAUCUGUCUGCUAACAAACGAGCGAAUCUUCAUCCCCAGAAUUGGGCCUCUUCACUUCCCUCACAGAUUGCAUCUCUUUAAGGGAUAUCCGGGUAGAAGACAAUCCGUUAAAUGGGGUUCUUCCGAGAUCCAUCGGGAAUCUUUCUAUUUCUAUUAAAUGGCUGAUUGUAGGGAACUGUGGACUUAGGGGGAACAUUCCAGACAGCAUUGGAAACUUGAGCAAUUUAGUUUUUUUAGGUCUACGUGACAAUAGUUGGACUGGAUCAAUUCCAACUUCGAUAUGGGGUUUGCAAAAGCUUCGGUAUUUGAAUCUUAUCAAUAUUUCCCUCACUGGUCCGCUCGCUCGUGGUCUCUGUGGUUUGCAGAGUUUGGAGUAUUUAUACCUAAGUCAAAAUCAGAUUAGCGAUUCAAUUCCAGGAUGUUUCAAUAAUCUUACAUCUUUGAAAUAUCUUAACAUUGCUUUCAAUAGAUUAACCUCUACUUUGCCAAUGAGCUUGUGGGAUCUUAAAGGUCUUGUGUAUGUCAACUUGUCGUCGAAUUUCUUGAGAGGACCUUUGGCUCCAGAGAUGGGAGAAUUAAAGAAUUUGACAAGGUUAGACUUGUCAAACAACCAGUUUUCAGGCAAAAUCCCCAGUACUAUUUGGAGUUUAGAGAGUUUGGACCAUCUUUCUUUAUCAAAUAACAGUUUGAGAGGACCAAUCCCGGACAGUCUUUGAAUUGGUACCUUUGAGUUUGGGCCUAGAAAAUUAGCCUAUUACAGAGUAACCUCUCUGGUCAGAUUCCCUAAUACUUAAAUAUUCACUUUAUAGAAUUAAGCGGUGACUCAUGUAUUCUUGCUCUGUAAUAAAUUAAGGCUUGUGUAGAAUUUUUUAUUCCAAUAUCCACCAUACCAAGCUAUUCUAAACAAUAAAUUCAAGGACAAUAAAGGUGUCUAUGCAUAUAUUUAUUGUGCCAGAACUAUUCUGAUAUUUUUUUAAUAAAAAUUCAAUUAGGAAGUGAAAAUUUCUCCUAACUAACAAAAGAUAUAAAGAAAAUAAAUGUUUAUUGUUACAAUGUUAGCCCAUGGAAAAAAAAUUAGAGUUGUCUAGUUCAUUUAAAGUGAUGGUAAUCUUUUUUUUUUUAAUUCAAAAAAAUGUGGCCUCUUGGAAGGCACAUUUUCUUUUACCAGUGAAAAUUUUGGAUUUUUUCUUUAAAAUAUGUAGUAUACUUUUUCUUUGUCGGCACCAUCACUCUCACGUCAAAAUUGGAAAACUACAGUCGAAUAGCUUUUGGUACGAUAAUUGAAGACUAAAGGUUAGUUUUGUAAUUUUCUUGUUGCUUUGGUGAAAAUAAUAAUAUAACAGACCGGCAUUAUGGAAAGUAAGGUUAAAGAUAUUUGCAGCAAAUGACUGACACAAAUUCACUUGUUCUUCCACUUGAAGUUCGUGUCAUGGAAUAUGGAGAACAGCCCCGAUUAAUCUGUCUAUUAAUUUAAGUAUGCGUGAAACAAAAAAGUUGAAAAAUAGUAAGGGAGCCAUCAAUAUUUGUUUUUGGUCCUUUUAGCAUUAUUUUGCCCAGGACUUUUUUUUGCGUCUUUCUCAAAGGCUUGGAGGUGGCAAAGGUGAAGUACAUAUAUACAACAUUAAUAUCAGUUGAGGAUCAUAUAGUACAAAAAUAAUAUAUAUAUAUAUAUAUAUAUAUAUAUAUACACCGAUUAAAACCACUAUUAGUUGACAAGAAUAUGUUUAUAGUACUGUAGGGAUACCGGCGUGAUUAAUGAGUUACUUCUAAAUACAUGAAUCAUGCCAUAAGACCUGUGCAAUGGCCCCAAUAAUUUCUUAACGAUGGGAAUGGAAAAUUGAACCUCAUGUAAUUGAAGCUCUCUCUGUUUGGUCAUUACCAAUUGAGUAACCCCUUGAGAGUUGUCAAGGAUAAACUUCAUUCGUACACCCAACAAUUUACACAUUUUUUUGUUUUAAAAGAUACGUUGAUAUACAUAAUAUUGUUGAUCGUACAACUUUAUUUAACUCAUCUGUAAUUUUGUAUUUGUUUAUACCACUUUUUGGGUUUCUUUUAAUAUCAUCCGUGAGUGAACUUACACACCACUCCAACCAACAUAUUGCUCUUCAUCGAAUCACUAAUUGAGCAAUUGAUAAGACUGGACAUUUUGUAGGUUAGUAUGUUUGCUAUGAUUAAGCGAUUACAUGAGGACUGAAAAUUCUCGACUUGUGAUUUUGCUGCCAUCACUUUUUGUAUUAUGGAAAUAGAAAGUGGACAACUACAGAAGCUAAUAAAGUGUUUCUAAUGCUAUAUAAUAUCAACAAUUCAUUCCUUGACUUAUUUUUCAACCUUUCCGUUUUUUUUUUUUUUGGAGCAUAACCUUCCCGUUUUUUAUCAUUUUUCGUAUUCUAUAGUCUCGUAAUGUAGUUCAUUUAUUUGUUGAAAUGAAUCUGGGCCAGUUUUUACCAAUUUAUUUGCUGGUGCAUUGGUGGGUGAGGGUAGAGAAACUUAUGUCUUAGACCCAAAAGUAUUUGUCUUGCUUUCGUCUCAAAACAACACCCAGGCCGACAAUUAAUUAGUCACUGGUCUUAGUAUGUAAAUACAGCCCAGGCCCAGCAGCAUGAUAUUGUACUGAUAACAAAGACAUCACUUGUAAUCGUAAGGCGAUUGAUUCCACUCUCACACGGUCACACCCUUCCCUUUUUUCUUCUUCUUCUUUUUUUUUUUUUGUUUUUUGUUUUUUGCUUUGUGUUUCAUUGUAAGGUUUGAAGUUUUAUAUGACGCAUACAAACUAAAAGAUAAUCCAUGUCAAAAUUUAAAAAAAAAAUUUGUAUUUUUAUAGGUGAAGUCAUAUAACCUUCAAGCCUUCUGUCUAAAUUAAUAUUUCUAUCUACCAAUUUUCAUUUCGAGUUGACUAAAGUCAACCAUGGACAGAAUUCAACCUUAAUUGCUACGGCCCUAGAAAACAUAAACGGCAACUUCUUGACAGGUUGAUUUUAAACGGCAAGUUAGGUGUUUCAUUUCGAGUUGAAUUGACAGGUUUGAUUUUAAAUGAGGUUGGCAACUUCUUGAAAUUGGAGCAACCUAACUUGCAAUUUAGCAAAUUUCACUUCCUCGAUGCAAGCCGUGAUCUUCAACAUCUCAACACUCAGGAUUUUCUCACUUUUAGGCAAUCAUUUAUCUGGCAAUCUUCCAUCAAAAUAUGUGCUGUGGCCGGUACAAUUUGGAAGGACUUUAUCAUGCUGAGAACAACUUCACUGGAGCUAUAGCAGUAUCUAUCCCAAACUGUUCAAAGCUGAAUUUUACUCUCAUGGUUAUAACAAAUUCAGUGGUGGAAUUCCUAUUUCCAUUGGCAAACCAAGACACCUCGAAUUUUUAGAGCUAAUUGAUAACAAUUUGACAAGUGAAUCUUCAUCUCCAGAUUUGAACCACUUCAUUUCCUAGGCCGGUUGCAUCUCUCCAGGGAAGACCUCAGUGUCAGGAAAUCCGUUGAAUGGGGUUCUCCCAAUUUCAAUUGGAAUCCCUCUAGUUCUGUUGAAAAGUUUUAUGCAGAAAACUGUGGAAUCAAGGGUAACAUUCCAUGGAGCAUUGGAAGCUUGAGCAAUCAUUUGACUGGCUUCAUCCCUUCUACGAUUAAUGGGUUCACAAGCUGCAAGGGUUGUUGUAUCUCCAAAAUAAUUCUAUGAGUGGUUCCCUAUUUGGUGAUCUCUGUGGUUUACAGAGUUUGAAUAUAUAUAUACACGUCUAAGCCAAAACCAGAUUUCUGACUCAAUUCCAGAAUGCUUCGGUAACCUCACAUCUUUGAGGUCUUUUUAUAUAGCUUUCAAUAGAUUAACCUCUACUCUACCAAGGACCCUGUGGAAUCGCAAAGAUUUUCGAAAAUUUCAGUAGCCGCUGGCACAUUUUGCCCAGUACAAUAAGUGCCUUAGUUUGCAUUUAAGGUUUGCAUUUUGCCCAGUACAAUAAAUAUAAGAUGAAUUUUUUUUAAAAUUUUUUGGUAGUAAUUCAACUUUUAUUGCUGUGGCAAGGAAUACAAAUUAUUACAAACAACUUGAUACCUGGGACUUUCCUCCAACUAGCCACUGCACUUGUGAUGACUUUCCUCCAAAUUAUUGUGGGAAGCAUACAGGAAAACAUGUGCCACAAUCUUUCCAAACUCGAAUGGAUUGAUCUAAAUAGUAAUCUUCUACAAAUUUGAGCAAAUGCUCAUCACUCAGAUAUUUGUCAUUGGCAGUCAACGAAUCGAGUGAAUCAGUACCGAGGGAGCUUGGAAAUCUAACCAUGCUUGAAGAACUAUGGUCUUGAUAUACCUCAGUGCAACGAGAGGGUAAGAAGUUCUAAAUUUUCAGCUAGCGAGGAUAUAUUACUCUACUUGUAUUUGGUGGCUAAGGACCUUUUAAAUCAAAUCGACAGGUUUAAAGACUUCAUUGAAACUUAUCACAGUUAAGAGGCCAAAUGAAAACAUUGUGGUGAAGUUUCGGGAUGAUUAAAGUCUUUAUCCUUUUUUUUUUUCCUCGUCAAUCUUAAAACUUUCGUGGGUAUUUGAUUUUGCAGGUGAAAUACCGAAAGAGAUCUGUAAUCUCUGCGGCCUUAAGUCAUUACACCUAUCAAAUAACAUGCUCAGGGUUCCAUUACCGGUGGAGAUAUAUAACAUGUCGAAGUUAAGUGUCAUUGCCUUGAACAAUAACAGCGUAUCUGGAUCCCUCUCAGAAAGUAUAUGCGAUCAGCUUCCAGAACUUGAACGUUUAUAUCUAUAUGAAAACAAUUUGGAAGGCCAAUUGCCAAGAAACUUAUUCAGAUGUCCUGCGCUUACAGUUCCCCAUCUAAAGAGGAACAAAUUCAAUGGAGAAAUACCACAUGAGAUUGGCAAUUUGACUAUGCUUAAGGUCCUAUAUCAAAAUGACAACCAUUUGACAGGUAUAUCUAUAUCUAUACUCCGGUUGUCAGGUAUAUCUAGAGGUGUCAAAAUGGAUGAUUUGGACGGGUUUGGGUUGGGUAAAAUGGGUAAUGGAUAUAAAUGAGUCAAUCCAUUUAUACCCAUUUAAUUAGAUGGGUAUAAAUGGGUAAGUCAAAAAAUGAAUUGGAUAACCCAGUUAUCCAUUUAUAACGCAUUUAUUUUAACUUUUGUAAACUCAUUUAAAUUCAUUUUUGCAAACUAAGUUAUCAAUUUAUACUACUUUUUGCACCCAUCAUUAGUUUUAAAUAUUUACUUAUAAUGUUCAAUAAGUCUAAUUAUCAAUUUUUUUUUAUCCGUACUCUAUGUCGCAAAAUUACAUACUAUUAAAUAAUUGAAUAAUAAAAAUACAAAAAUUUAAAUUAAGUACUAUAAAAAUUAACAUAAAAAUUAAUCCAAAAAUUUUGAACCCCUAAUAUUUUUUUCAUGUGUAAAUUUAAAAUUUCAUUUUGAAAAUGUAGGAAAAGAGGCUAAAACUUUAUCAUAAAUUGGUAAUGCUAAAAAAUGAGUAAGUUAACAAAUUAAGAGAAAAUAAAAUGAUAAAAUAAAACCAACAAAUAACAAUAAUAAUGAAACAAAAGUAGUUAACAUCAUAACAAAAUGAAAAAUCUGAAAAAAAAAAUAGGGGCGGGAAGAGAGGAGAUUUGGGGGAAAAUAAUUCUAAAUGAGUUAAUUGGGUUUGAUGGGUUACCCAAUAAUACCCAUUUAAUAAAUGGAUAUUAUUGGGUAACCCAUUUAUACCCAUAUGCAAAACUUAAGAUACCCAUACCUAUCUAUUCAUGAACGGGUACGGGUAAAUUUAAUUAAAUGGGUUGAUUUGCCACCUAUAGGUAUAUCUAUAUCUAUACCCCUUAUAAAAGUAAAGUUCAAAGUACCUUUCUCCUUUAUCAUUAUUGUUAUGAUAGUAGUCAAUAAUUAUAGCAGUUAUGAAGAAAAAAUUGUACACUUAAUUAAAUUUGAACUAUAGAACUCCAAUCUAUGCUCCUUAUAAAAGUUGCGUUGAGUCUAGAUAAAUUAGUGUAAGUUGGUCUUAGUUCUCUACUAUGUUCAAAACACCCUUCUUCAUAAUUAUUAGAUUUAUUGUAUUAUGAGAGUAGUUAAUAAUUAUACCAGUUAUGAAGAAAAAACUGUAAACUUAAUUGAAUUUGCAUUACAGCACUCCAAUCUAAUUUGUUGUUCGUUCUUAGGAGUCUUUGUCAUUUGUACUUUAUUUUAAUGAUUUGGCUUGACUAUUUGAAAAAUGAAUUAAUUUAAAUUUACUGGGUAUAAUGGAGUCAUGGAGGGGAUAUUUGGGAGUGAAAAAAUAGUAUAGCAUGAGUCUUAGAUUAACAGAAAAAAAAAAAGCAAAUAUACUGAGCCUAAUGCCUCUAUAGAUUUUGUAUAUAAUUUAAUUUAAAAAUUUACCUUAUAAGAAUUAAUGAAUUCUAUAAAUUGAUCCUAAUGCCAUCUAAAUUUUGAUAUCAUAGUUUGAACUAUUACUUUAUAAGUAUUAAUGAAUUUUAUAAAUUGAUCCUAACGUCCCUUUAGAUUUUGAUAUUAUAGUUUAAACCUUUACUUUAUAAGUAUUUAUAAAUUCUAUUUGCUAGUACUCCAACACUUGAGAUAUACAUUUUUCUCACCUAAGGACAUUGUUUUGUGUAUAAAAAAUUUGAAAAAAUUCCUCAAAGAAAUCUUUACAAAUGAGGGAUACCUCUAGCUUGUUUCAAUUUAAAUUAUAUUUUUAAGAAUAGUUGAUUAAAGAAGAUGGAAAAUAUGCAAAUAUUAAAUUACGAUGUUAAUAAUAGAAUUUCACAAGAAAAAUUAAAGUACAAAGGAGAUAUUAUAUUUAAUGAUACUAUAAUCAUGUGCAAAACACAUGACCUCCCUUGAGCUUUACCUUGCUUAAGUAUCAAAAAUUACAAUUACUCUUUUGGCGACACAAUUGCUAUGAUAAUCUUGAAAAGAAUACUAAUACCCAAAUUUGCAAAAACCGAAAAGCAAAAAAAAAAAGAAGAGAGAAAAUAAUAAUUAUGAUCAAUGAUGAUUGAAAUAAAAUUUUUUAAAACCAUAUAAGGUUAUUUUUGCAAAAUUUGAGUACAACCAUUUUAUUAUGUCUAAAAAUAAAAAUUUCAAUAUCUGAGGAACGUACAUGAAACUAAGCUAAAUCUUGGGAGAGAUGCAAGGAGUUAUGCUUAAAAUGUGAGUGCAGAUGUUUUUGCAAAUUUCCAUGAAAGUUCAAAAGGAACCACACUUCAUUUUGACUAAUUGAGUGUUUUCAAUUGAACUGCAUACAUUACACGGUGGGACUGAGAACUGAUGAAUUUGAAUAAAAUCAUUAGUUUGUUCAUAACAUUUAACGGUAGCUCCUUAUCAUCUUUGAUGGUUCAAUAACAUAAUAUACACUUCGUGUUUUGAAGGGUCAAACAAGUCAGGUCUUCCUAUAGUUUAAGUCAUCGGUCAAAAUUGAAUAUUAAAUUCCCACUACUCUAUAACAUCAACUAAUUAAUAAACAUCUUUAGUUUCCACAAGUCUUUGCCAAAAUUUCCACGCCAACUGGCGUGUCAAAUAUGGAGAUGAUCUUUUUUCCCUCGUCACAACGUACUUGUGAGCGGCAGAAUUUAUGGGAAGAAGAUUCAUAUGGUUAUGUUAAGGGUAUUUGUUAUCAAAUGACAAGUUGCACAACAAAUGAAUGUCCAAUAAUCGAAACCACAAAUUCUAUGUGCAUAUGAACAAACUGGAAGCACUAAAUCACAAGAUGUACAAAGAUAAAACCAAAUAACAGGGCGUAGGAAUUAAAUGGAUGGUACAAGUUAAUAUAUUAUUAAUUUAUUUAGAUUUCUUUUAAUUUAAACUUACCACAAUUAAGGAAUCCUAAUCAAAGGAAAAAAAAAAAGGGAAAGACAACCUUUUUCCACCUUGCAUUAAUUUGGAAGACAUAGAUGUUAAAGUAUUUCAUAUUGUUUGAUCAAAUCAAUCUUUUUGUUUCCAUUCCAAUUGUGAGACAAGUCUAGGUUUUCGUCUUUCAUUUGUCUAAACUUUAUGUAUUUCUCUAAACCUUCCACUGAUAUUUGAUAUUUCUAAUUAAAUCUUUUCUUGGCUUCUAACAUUUUUCUUCUUGAUUUUUCCAUGACUUUCCCCCCUUCAUUUCCAUUGUAGAAAGAUAUACUUACCUUCCAUUUUAUUUGGAUUUUCAUCUUGUACGAAACUGUACAUAAAUUGCAUUACACAAUAUCAUUAAUUACAUGACCAAUUCUAUUCAAGUUUAUACAUUCCGUCAAAAUAUUUUACAUGCUUCUGUCUUUUUUUUUUUGGCCCUAAGAACAUCUAUUUUAGAGGGAUUAUGUGGAUAAAUGCAAAAAUUAUAAGGGGAUAAAAUGAAUAUUUAUACAAACUAUAAAGGGGUUACAUAGAGAUUAAAAUUUUAUCACAUGAGCUUUUAGAGUGUGUUUGGUAUAAACGUCAUAAUUGAUUGUGCAUUCUGUCCAUUUUCCAUUGUAUAUAAAAUUAUAGAGGGGUUAUGUGGCUAUUUUAAAAUCUUAGAGGGGUCAUCUUGCAUUAUGUAAAAUCUUAGGGGGAAUACAAGUAAUUUACCAUAUAUUACAUGGUGGGACUGUGACAGGCGUCAAACCUGUGCAAUAAUAAAUACCUGCUUAAAUAAAAUACAAAUUCUGUAUAUAGCGGUAAGCAGGGUCGAAUCCACAGGGACUGGGGAUAAUUUAAUUUCUUCUCAAGUUCCAGAUAUGGGGGGUUUUGAAAAUGAUAGUAACUAAAUUACUUGGAAUAAAUUAAAAUAAAAUAAAACAACUACACUCAAAUAACUAAUUAUCACAAUAAAAAUAAUAAUGGACGAACUCUAGCCAAGAGACAACUUCGGAGAUGGUUCACUUAAUUCGAUCACAGAUGCAAGGAUUAUUCCAGUUACUAUCUGAUAAAUUAGUUAUAGUUGUCAUACACGCGAUAAACAACCAACUCUUCCUUAAUUUGUCGAUAGCCAAGGUACGAUCGUUGACUAUUUCUCUAAUAAGGAAAUAACCCUAGGUACGACCAUAGAAGUUCAAUUCCCUAAUUGCAUGAAUAAUUAGAAGAGCCUAAUUCUAACCAAUCAACACGCUACGAGGGUCUCUUUAAGUUAGCCUGCCUAUCUCCCUGACACAAACCCAAUCAUGCCAGUUGCCACCAGUUUAGAAUAAUUAAACAAUUACGGAUUUAACUACCCUAAUUGGCUUCAGGUUAUUGAAUUAAUCUAGAAUCCGGGCCCUGAAUAAUCGAAUAAUAAAACAACCAUAUGAACAUAAAGCAGAAGACAGACAAAUACCAGUGAAUAAUGGGAAUAAAUAAAAACUAAUUCGAUCUCACAAAUUUAGUAGAACCAAAUCCUCCGUUGUUCUUGACUAGACAAACUUAGCCACGCCUCAUGAGAAAAUCUUCAAGUAAUUCCACUGAGAUCCAGGCCAUCAAAAGAGCCAAGAAAGAAACGAAAAAACUAAAACUAUCCUAAAGCUUCGAUAAGAACUAAAGAUAAAAAGUAUUCCCUCCCUAAAACCUUCUCUACGUUUUUCUUUUUAAAGCCAAAGGGAACAAUGACAUAAUGCUUCCUACUCCGUGGUCCCCACCAAAAUUGAAAGCCAAGGAAAGAAUACAAAAGCUGCGGCUCAAUUUUCUUUUUGUUUCCUCGGUUCCUAGGGCUCUCAUGGCCCUUUCUUCAUCAGCUCAAUAAGGGCCAAAGGGAAAUCCAUUUGUUUCCUCUCUUGUGGGCCACGUUGAGUGGGCCUUGCAGAAGACUCCCAUGUGUGCAGUAAAUUGCUCAGAAAGUCCUUCCUUUUUUGUAGUUUCUGUUCCAUUCCCUGAAAUUAAAUCCAAAUACCAAAUAUAAAUAAAUAUUAAUAAUUAAAACAAUAUUUGGCAAAGACAAAGGGGAAAUUAAUAAUAAAAUAACCAACAAUUAACACCCUAUCAGACUGCAACUUAACAGAACUAAUGGAUUUGAAUAAAACAUUAAAGUUUGUUCAUAACAUCUAAGGUAGUUCCACCUUUGACGAUUCAAUAAGGCAAUAUGCAUUUCGUCUCUUGAAGGGUCAAACAAGUCAAGUCUUCCUAUUAUUUAAAAGUCGUUUUCAAAGUUGAAUAUUAAAUUUUUUUUAGUUGGAUAUUAAAUUUCUACCACUCAUAGAACAUCAACUAAUCAAUAAAAAUAUGUAGUUUCCACGAGUCUUUGCCGAAAUUUCCACAUCAAUUGGCGUGUCAAAAAUGAAAUGUGACCAUUUUGCUAGUCAUGCCAUCAUGCGGACCCCCUCAAAUGCACAGAAGGAGACAGCCUACUGCUAAAAUUUCCAAUAAAAUUUGACCAAUUUGCUCGCUCGUCAUAAAAGUUGGAUAUUAAGUUUUCUCACAUCAACUGAUUAAUAAGAAUGUUUUAGUUUCCACAAGUCUCUGCCAAAUUUUCCACGUCAACUGGUGUGUCAAAUAUGGAGAUGAACUUUUUCUUCCUCGUCAUAAACUACUUGUCAGCGGCAGAACUUAUGGGAAGAAAAUUCAUAUGAUUAUGUUAAGGGUGUUUGUUACCAAAUGACAGGUUGAACAACAAAUGAAUCGAAAUCACAAGUUGUAUGUACAUAUGGACAAACUGUGAGUACUAAAUAACAAAGCAUAAAAAUCAAAUAACAGAAUGUAGGAAUUAAAUGGAUGGUACAAGUUAAUACAUUAUUAAUUUUUUAUAUUUCUUAUAAUUUAAAGUUACCACAAUUAAGGAAUCCUAAUUAAAGAUUAAAAAAAAAAGGAAAGACAACCUUUUUCCACCUUGCAUUAAUUUUGGAAGACACAGAUGUUAAAGACUUUCAUAUCGUUUAAUCAAAUCAAUCCUUUUGUUUCCAUUCUUCUUGUGUGACACGUCUAGCUUUUCAUCUUUCAUUUGUUUAAACCUUAUUUAUUUCUCUAAAACUUCUACUCACAUUUUAUUUUUUCUAAUCAGUUCUUUUUCUUUUUUUUUAAACAUUUUUCUUCUUGAUUUUUGAUUUUUCCACGACUUUUUUCCUUCAUUUCCAUUGCAGAACCAAAUACUUACCUUCCAUUUUGGAUUUUCAUCUUGUAAGAAAACAUACUUAAACUUGUAUCACAUCGUCAUUAAUUGCAUGAUCAAUCCUAUCGAAAGGGUAUUUGGAUAUGCUUGGGCCAUUUAGAAUUGGCUAAAACUGGUCUAGACGUUUGAGAAUAGACAAGUCAAACGAGUCUAGUCUUCCUAUAGUUUAAGACGUGGUUAAAAUUGGAUGUUAAGCUACUCUCACAUCAAGUGCUUAAUAGGAAUGUUUUAGUUUCCACAAGUCUUCGUCAACUAGCGUAUCAAAUAUGGAGAACCUAUGGGAGUCAUCUACGGUAGGAACGUAUUGAUGUUUCUUUCCACCCUAGGAAUGUGCAACACGAAGAUAUCGACAGCACAUCAAAGCAUUCUCAGUGAGAAGGCAAGCCCACGUCUAAAUUCCAUUGAGGUUUACCUUGCUUAGGUAUCAAAAAUUAAACUUAGUCUCUUAGCGCACAAUUACUAUGAUAACCUUGAAAAAGAAUAUUAAUACCCAAAUUUGCAAAAACCGAAAAGACAAAAAAAAAAGAGAGAAAAUAAUAAUUAAGAUCAAUGAUGAUUGAAAUAAAUUUUUAAAAUCAUAUAAGGUUAUUUUUGCAAAAUUUGAGUACAGUUUGAUGAUGUCACCAUUUUGGGUUUAUUAUGUCUAAAAAUACAAAUUUCAACAUCUGAGGAACGUAUAUGAAACCAUGCUAAAUAUUUGGGAGAGAUGUAAGGAGUUAUCCUUAAAAUGUGAGUGCAGAUGUUAUUGUAAAUUUCCAUCAAAGUUCAGAAAGAACCACACUUCAUUUUGACUGACAGUGUUUUCAAUUGGCAAGAGCAUAUCUAUUGUAUUACUACAUACAUUAUAUGGUGGGACUAAAACUUAAGAUAAAUGAUGUAUCUGAAUAAAACCAUUGGUUUGUUCAUAACAUUUAGAGGUAGUUUCUUACCAUCUUUGACGAUUCAAUAACGUAAUAUACACUUCAUCUUUUAAUAAAGGGUCAAACAAGUUAGACAUUUCUAUAGUUUAAGUCGUGGUCAAAGUUGAAUAUUAAGUUUCUACCACUCAUAUAAUAUUAACUAAUUAAUAAAAAUCUUUAGUUUCCACAAGUCUUUGCCAAAAUUUCCACUUCAACUGGCAUGUCAAAUAUGGAGAUGAUCUUUUUUCCCUCGCCACAAAGUACUUGUUAGCGGCAAAGGAAAGACAAUUUUUUUCCACCUUGCAUUUAUUUUGAAAGACAUAUAUGUUAAAGUCUUUCAUAAUGUUUAUGAACUGAUGAAUUUGAAUAAAACCAUAAAGUUGGUUCAUAACAUCUAACGGUAGUUCCACCUUUGACAGUUCAAUAACGUGAUAUGUACUUCGUCUUUUAAAGGGUCAAACAAGCCAAAUCUUUCUAUUGUUUAAGUCGUAAUCAAAGUUAAAUAUUAAAUUUUUUCCUAGUUGGAUAUUAAAUUUCUACUACUCAUAUAACAUCAAUCAAUCAAUAAAAAUCUAUAGUUUUCACAAGUCUUUGCCAAAAUUUCCACGUCAAUUGGCGUGUCAAAUAUGGAGAUGAUUUUUUUCCACAAUUAAGGAAUCCUAAUCAAAGGAUAAAAAGGAGAGACAACUUUUUUCCACCUUGCAUUUAUUUUGAAAGACAUAGAUGUUAAAGUCUUUCAUAUUGUUUGAUAAAAUCAAUCUUUUUGUUUUCGUUCUUCUUGUGUGACAAGUCUAACUUUUCAUCUUUCAUUUGUUUAAACCUUAUUUAUUUCUCUAAAACUUCUACUCAUAUCAACUCUUUUAUUGUUUUCUAACAUUUUUCUUCUUGAUUUUUCCGUGACUUUUCCCCUUCAUUGGCAUUGUAGAAAUAUAUACUUACAUUCCAUUUUAAUUGGAUUUUCAUCUUGUAAGAAAGUAUACUUAAAUUUGUAUCACAAAGUUAUUAAUAGCAUGAUCAAUCCUAUCAAAGAGGAUAUGUUAGCAAUAAAGUAUUUGGAUAUGCUUGGGCCAUUUAAAAUUGGCUAAAACCUGGUUGCUAAUACGAAGAGUCAAACGAGACUAGUUUUCUUUUAGUUUAAGUCGUCAUCAAAACUGGAUAUUAAAUUUCUGUCACAUUAACUAAUUAAUAAGAAUGUUUUAGUUUCCACAAGUCUUUGCCAAAAUUUCCACGUCAACAGGCGUGUCAAAUAUGGAGAACCAAUAGGAGUCAUCUAUGGUAGGUAGUGAUGUUCCUUCCUACCGUAGCACAUCAUGAGAGCAUUCUCAGUGAGAAGUCAAGCCCACGUCUAAAUUCCCACGGCAAAGAAAAAUGUGAUUUGUGGCAGGCCCCAUUGAUUAAUGAAUUUGAUAUAAAAUUUGUAUUGUUAAUGUAAACAAAACAAAUUUUCACAGUAUAAUUUUUACAUUAGUAGUUAUAAUGCUUAAGGCUGAUUGUGCUGAAAAGUAAAAAAAUAAAAGUAAAAUGAAUAGUUAUUUUGACAAUUUGUAUUUAGGUAGUUUAAUUAAAAGUGCCUAAAUACAUGGGUAAAAUUUGAUGGAUUAAAAAUAACUUAAAAAAUGAAUUUCUGGAUCGAAAUAUCUAAGAAUUGUAUACUUGGAAUGAAUGGAUGUUUCGCAUGAUAGAGAAAAAUACAAACUUUGGUGCGGGCCUGCCACUGUUAGUGCCACAAAUCAAAGUUAAUCUCUUUACUCUUACUAGGAAAAUUCAGUCACAGGAAAAUUCGUUAGCACGAGUUCCCACUGUGGUUUGAUGGAGAUGGUCUGUCUUUCCCUCCAUACAAUUUCAUUGUUAGACAGAAUCCCUUUCAUAAUCAUAAAUGCUGCUAGUAGUUGACAGCAUUUGAUCUUGAGAUACAAAUAUUGCCUCUCAAUGGAAGUAUAUAUAUACUUACUUCCCCAUAAUAGUAGUAUAUACAUACUUACUUCCCCAUCGUCAGCUCUAUUUGCCAGCUUAGUCAAAAGAAAUGGAGAGAGCAUACUAUUACUUUCCUGUAGGACUUUUAUUAGCCACUUAUCUGUUAGCCGUGGGCACAGCCGAUAUCAUAAAUGAUAAAUCUGCCCUUGUAGCUUUCAAAAAUCACGUAGUUCUUGAUCCUCACUCAAUUGUGGCAAAAAAUUGGUCCAUUUCUUACUCUGUUUGUGAUUGGAUUGGAGUUACAUGUGACUCUGGUCGUCAAAGAGUGGUGGCAUUAAAUAUUUCUUACAUGGGUUUUGCAGGCACGAUUCCUCCACAACUGGGAAACCUCUCAUUCCUUGUUUCUGUCGACAUGAGCAGCAACAGUUUUCAUGGUCAUUUGCCAGAAGGAAUGUCUCAUUUGCGUCGACUAAGUUUCAUGGCUUUAAGCAACAACAAUCUCACGGGAGAAAUUCCAUCAUGGUUGGGUGUCUUGAAUAGACUUCAAUACUUGUCCCUAAGAAACAAUUCGUGUGUUGGCCAUCUUCUUGCUAACAUAUGCGACAAUCUUCCAAAUCUAAAAGAGCUCGAUCUGUCUCGGAAUCAAUUGAGUGGCCAGAUGCUAUCAGGUUUAUCAAACUGCUCCGGACUCAAGUCGUUAGAUUUGUCAUUCAACCAGUUCAAUGGUUACAUACCAAAAGCGGUGGGGAACUUGAAAAUGCUUGAGGAGCUACAUCUCGACAAUAACAUCUUGAAAGGUUACUUUCUUGUUUUCUUAAUCUUUAUUCAGUUCCAUAUUUACAUUUUGUCACUGUAUAAUUAUCUUAAUUUCAUGUGCUACAAUCUCUUGAUCUUUGGCCCUUUUAAACAUUUAUUUAAAGUUAAAGAGAUUUAGGUGUUUAGGUGAUCCCCUGAAACGAAACUCUGAAUCUACCCACGAAAGCAGCAACACGGUUCUAUGCCACCCACAAUCUUCAAAACCUCCACAUUGGAAUUUAUUGAUUUUGCAGAAUAACAAUUAUCUGGUAAUAUUCCUACUGAUAUAUGCCACAGUAUUCCAAAUGUAAAAGAGCUCUAUCGCCUUUGGAAUCAGUUGAAUGGUCAACUAGUAGCAGGUUCAACAAAAUGCUCUAUCGACUUGGGGUAUUGUGUUUGGUCAUUCAACCAGUUCAACGGAUAGAUACCAAAAAGAAGUUGGAAAUUUGAAAAUGCCAGUAUCUAUAUCUUGGCACUAACAGUUCGCGGGAGGGGGGGAUGGGGUGGUUGUAUUAGAAGGGUAUAAUUGUCUUUUUAAUUGAACCACUAGCAAGGGACCAAAAGUAAAUCAAAAUUAAUGCUAAGGUAAACCAUAGCAAGGGAGGAAUUAUGUAUUUAUAAUUAAAAUUAUUCUUUAUGUAUUGCGCUAUUUAAAUUUUGUCACACUACAAUGUAAUUACAUUUAGUCUGUGAGUGCUACAAAUCUCUUUGAUUUUGGGCCUUGUAAACAUUUAUCUAUGAUUUCGGGCCCAAAAAAAAAGCAUACAUUUAGUUCUAACGAAUUGGUGGUAAUUCCUCCCAAGUUUCGCAGGUAGCAUUCCGGAAGAGAUAGGCAAUCUCCAGAGCUUGAGGGCCUUGUCCAUAGAAAGCAGCAAUUUGAGUGGAUCAAUACCCAGGGAAAUUGGAAACCUAACUAUGCUUGAAGAAGUACAUUUUUCUUACAACAGACUGACAGGUAACAAAGUGGCGAGUAAUCCAAAACUAUUUUAGUAGGAAAAUUUGCCUUAAUUUUAACUUGGAGGGGCAAACUGACAUGAAAUUAAUGAACUUCAAGUUGCCAAAAAUCCUCUUUUUUAAAUUUUUUUUGAAUUUUGUCAAUUUUAGAUAUACAAUUUUUAUCGGUGGAAUUAUAUAACAUGUUCCUGAAUUUGGAAGUUUAUAUCUACAGAUAAACUUUUUCGAAAAAUUCCCCACUUUAAAUUUUUUACGUAGGGAUCAACAAACUCAAUGGGCAAAUACUAUGCUUAAGAAGCUGUAUCUAGAUGAUAGGUAUAUAUGUUAAUUUUCAAUGAAUUGUAAUCCUGAAUUUGGUGCAACUUUUGGAGUAUAUUUAAAUGAGAUUGGUUUUUGUUUAUGGAUCGACAGGUCCGAUUCCAAAUGAGAUUGGCAACUUGCUCAAAUUGGAGAGCCUUAACUUGGAUGAGAAUAGCUUAAGUGGUUCGAUACCAGUUGGGAUCUUCAACAUCUCAACUUUGAGGGAACUCUACCUUUCUUACAAUCAUUUAUCUGGCGUUCUUCCAUCAAAUAUGUGCCAUGGCCUACACAAUUUGGAAGCUAUUCUUCUUGGUGGGAAUAACUUCAGCGGAGCCAUACCCGCCUCUAUCUCAAACUGUUCGAAACUAAUUGGAAUAUCUCUUGGUGAUAACAAAUUCAGCGGUCCAAUUCCCAAUUCCAUUGGAAAUUUGAGACGCCUCGUAGUUCUAUAUCUGUGUGCUAACAAUUUGACGAGUGAAUCUCCGUCCCCAGAAUUGGGCCUCUUCACUUCCCUCACAGGUUGCAUCUCUUUAAUGGAUAUCGAUGUAGGAGACAAUCCGUUGAAUGGGGUUCUUCCGAGAUCCAUCGGGAAUCUUUCUAUUUCUGUUGUAGAUUUGGAUGUAGGGAACUGUGGACUUAAGGGGAACAUUCCAGACAGCAUUGGAAACUUGAGCAAUUUAGCAAGUUUAGGUCUCGAUGACAAUAGUUGGACUGGAUCAGUUCCCAAUACAAUAUGGGGUUUGCAAAAGCUUUGGAUUUUGGAUCUUAGCAAUAUUUCCCUCACUGGUCCGCUCCCUCGUGGUCUCUGUGGUUUGCAGAGUUUGGAGUAUUUAGGCCUAAGUCAAAAUCAGAUUAGCGGUUCAAUUCCAGAAUGUUUCAAUAAUCUUACAUCUUUGAAAUAUCAUAACAUAGCUUUCAAUAGAUUAACCUCUACUCUGCCAUUGAGCUUGUGGGAUCUUAAAGGUCUCAAGGAGCUCAACUUGUCGUCGAAUUUAUUGAGAGGGCCCUUGGCUCCAGAGAUGGGAGGAUUAAAGAAUUUGACAAGGUUAGAUUUGUCAAACAAUCAGUUUUCAGGCAAAAUUCCCAGCACCAUUUGGAGUUUAGAGAGUUUGGACCACCUUUCUUUAGCAAACAACAGCUUGCAAGGAUCAAUUCCGGACAACCUUUGAAUUGGUACCUUUGAAUUUGGGGCUAGAAAACUGGCCCAUUACAGAGUAAGUUCUCUUGUUGGAUCCCCAAUAUAAUUUUUUUUGAAAAGGAAAAACUUUUCAUUGCAAAUCAGCAAUAGCGGCCUCAGUAACCGGCAUGGUAAAGUUUACAAACCAGACCCUACGUCCCUUGAAAGAUAACGAUAACUUAGAGAUGAUAUGAGCUGGGACAUUAUUGGUCCUCCUCACAUGGCUAACCUUAACAAAAUCAAAAGAAUGCAGCAUAGUCCUGAUGCCAUGGAUUAAAUGGCCAAUCAAAGACAAAUCAGGUUCCUUGCUAUUAAUCUUUUGAACAAUAUUUAAUGCAUCACCUUCGAGCAAGAAGUGCGAGAUACCAAAAUCUCUUGCAAACUCCAAAGCAUAAAGAAAAGCCAAGCAUUCCACAUGCUCUGCAUUGUGAACUCCUUCUACCCUUGCAGCCAUUGCAGCCUCCACUUGGCCCAAGUAAUUCCUCACCACUAAACCAACACCAGCUGCUUGUUCGGAAAAAGCUCCAUCAACAUUAAUUUUCAGAUAGCUCUGUUCUGGUGCUACCCAUUUGGUAUGCUCCUUAUAUUGCCGUGAUCCUUGUCUCCUUAGCAGGUUCCAAUACUCUUGCAAGAAUGCCUUAGCAUACACGCCCACCUGUGCUGCACGCUCCGUCUUGCCCGCGAAUAAUGACUGGUUCCUACUUUUCCACAGCAACCACAUCGUCACCACCGUGAGCUCUGUUAACUCAUUUCCUUCAAAUUUCAUAAAACAGUCUAUCCAGUCCUUAAAAUUUGAUGCAGCAGGCUUGUAAAUUGCUUUCAGCAUCCCCAUACUCGCCUACACCUCCCUAGCAAAAUCACAUCAAAAAAUAUGUGCUUAUCAGUCUCCUGAACACAACCACACCAGGUGCAUCCCAUUACUUCGCUCUUAAGCCUACUCGAUAAAUUCUGCCCCGUAGGUAAGAUACCAGAGCAUGCGCCGCCAAACAAAAAUUCUGACCUUUGGACGAACAUGCAGAUUCCAGAUUUUGGACCAAAAGGACUUCUCCUUACUACCUGAUGGCGCCUCCUCCCCACCUUUGUCCAACCUCUGCAGGGUUCUUGCCAAAUAGUACGCGGACCGAACAUCAAACAUCCCAUUUUUAUUGUGGAACCAUACAAGCUCAUCCUCCGCCCUCCACGGUGUACGAGGAAUUUUUCGAAUAAUUUGUACCUCGUAACUCAAGAAUAGAAAAUGAAGCAAAUCCAACCUCCAGUCACCAGAAUGGGGAUCAAUUAAAUCAGCUACUCUAGCAUCUGGCCACAGAGUCCUCGAGCAUUGUGACACCCGGAAGGAUGGAGGACAGGGUAGCCAAGGGUCAUCCCAGACUCGUAUGUGUGAACCAUCACCAACUCGCCACACGACCCCUCUUUGUAGUAAGCUUCUUCCUACUAGUAAACUCCUCCAUAGGUAGGACGGAUUGCUCCCUAAUUUGCCGUUCCAAAAAUCACUCCUGGCGUAAUACUUGGGCUUCAAAACUUUGGCUGCCAGAGAAUCAGGAUUUUUAACUAUCCUCCAUCCUUGUUUUGCUAAUAAAGCGAGAUUAAAGGCCUCCAAAUCUCUAAAACCCAACCCUCCUCCUGUUUUCAUCUUACACAAGCGAUCCCAUUUCAUCCAGCACAUCUUCUUUUCGUUACCUUUCUGCCCCCACCAAAAAUUUCUAACUAGAGACUUGAUGUCAUCGCAUAAAGCUUUUGGGAGCUUGAAGCAAGACAUCACAUAAGUGGAUCCCCAAUAUACUUAAAUGUUCACUUUUAAGGAAUUAAGCGGUGACUUGUGUAUUCUUGCUCCGUAAUAAAUUAAGACUUGUGUAGAUUUUCUUGGUUCCAAUAUGCACCAUACCCGGCUAUUCCAAACAAUAAAAUCAAGCACAAUAAAGGUGCGUAUGCAUGUAUUUAUUGUGCCAGAACUAUUCUGAAUUUUUUUUAAUAAAAAAUUCAAUUAGGAAGUGAAAGUUUCUCCUAACUAACAAAAGAUAUAAAGAAAAUAAAUGUUUAAAGUUGCCAUGUUAUAUGAUGGUCAUCAUUUUUUAUUUUUUGUGAAUUCAAAAAAAUGUGGCCUCUUGGAAGGCACAUUUUCUUUUACGGGUGAAAAUUUUGGAAUUUUUUUCUUUAAAAAAUGCAGUACACUUUUUCUUUGUCAGUACCAUCACUCUCACAUCAAAUUUGGAAAACUACAGUCGAAAGGCUUUUGGUAUCAUAAUUGAAGACUAAAGGGGUUUUGUUAUUUUCUUGUUGCUUUGGUGAAAAUAAUAUAGAAGACGCGUCUUCAUUUUGGUACCAAGGAAAAGCGUCUGGUGAAACAGAUAUUUGCAGCAAAUGAUUGACACCGCUUCACUUGUUCUUCCCGCUUGAAUAAAAAGUGGAAAAAUAGUAAGUGAGCCAUCAACAUUUGUUUUUGGUCCUUUUAACAUUAUUUUGUCUAGGACUUUUUGCGUCUUUCUUAAAGGCUCGGAGGUGGCAAAGGUGAAGUACAUCUAUACAACAUUAAUAUCAGUUGAGACUUAUAUGGUACAAAAAUAAAAUCUAUAUACAUCGGUUAAAACCAAUAUCAAUACCGCCGUGAUUAAUGAGUUACUUCUAAAUACAUGAAUCAUGCCAUAAGACCUGUGCAAUACUCUAGUCUAGCUGGGUGGCCCCAAUAAUUUCUUGAUAAUGGGAAUGGAAAAUUGGACCUCAUGUAAUUGAAGCACUCUUUGUUUGGUCAUUACCAAUUGAGUAACCCCUUGAGAGUUGUCAAGGACAAACUUCAUUACUACAUCCAACAAUUUAGGCAUUUUUUUUUCUUUUACAAACUCCAUGUAAUUGACCUGUUUUUUUCCGGGUUUAUCGGGUCUGACCCGAUUUCUCAAAAUCUAAAUCCAAAUCUAUUAAUUUUGUGUUAACUUCGUAUCGUAAUUUUAGAUCGUAUCGAAAAUUAUUACCCUAAGUGAGAGCAGAGAAACUUAUGUCUUAGACCCAAACUUAUUUGUUUUGCUGGAUCAAAGCAAGAUUUCGUCUCAAAACAACACCCAGGACGACAAAUAAUUUGUCAUCUGGUCUUAGUAUGUAAAUACAGCCCAGGCCCAACAGCAUGACAUUUGUACUGAUAACAAAGACAUCACUUGUAACCGUUAGGCUGUUGAUUCGACUCUGAGACCCUUCCCUUUCUUCUUCUUCUUCUUCUUCUUCUUUUUUUUUUUUUUUUUUUUUUUUUUUUGUCUUUGUGUUCCGUUAUAAGGUUUGAAGUUUUAUAUGACGCAUACAAACUAAAAGAUAAUUCAUAUCAAAAUUUUUAAAAAAUUUUGUAUUUGAAUAGAUCACUGGCAUACCUUAUUUUUAAAUUUGUAUUUUUAUGGGUGAAGUCAUAUAACCUUCAAGCCUUCUGUCUAAAUUAAUAUUUCUAUCUACCAAUUUUCAUUUCGAGUUGACUAAAGUCAACCAUGGACAGAAUUCAACCUUAAUUGCUACGGCCCUAGAAAACUAGUGUUUUAGAGGGAAAAUUUUAUGGUACAUAAACGGCAUCCUGAUUGAAAUACAUAUAGGGAAAAAAAAAACUUUUAGCUAGAAAAUGUUUAUAACACAUAAAUGGCCUCGUGGUUGAAGUCACCUUCAUCUUCCAGCUUAGUCAAAGCAAGAACUGGAGAGAACAAGCAAUUACUUUCUUGUUGGAAUUCUUUUAGCCACUUUUCUAGCAGUCAUUGCCACAGCCAAUAAUGCAAUUGAUCAAUCUGCCCUUCUUCCCUUGAAGGAUCACAUAAUUUCUAACCCUUACUUAAUCUUGAAAAAAAAUUAGUCCAUUUCUUCCUCUGUUUGUGAUUGGGUUGGAGUCACCUGUGACCCUAAUUAUCAAAGAGCAUUGGCCUUAAAUAUUUCUAACAAGGGUUUUACGGGCACGAUUCCUUCAAAAUUAGAAAACCUCUCAUUUCUUGUUUCUCUUGAUACCAGGAGAAAUGUCUCAUUUUCAUGGCCAUUUGCCAAAAGAAAUGUCUCAUUUUGCGUCAACUAGGUUUUAUGGCUUUAAGCAACCAUAAUAUUUCACAGGAGAAAUUGCAUCGUGGUUUGGUUUCUUGGGUGAACUUCAGCAUCUGUCCAUAAGAAACAACUCUCUCACCUCCUCCUCUUUUUAAUUUAUCAAAGCUUGAAAUUUUGGCUUUAUCUUAUAACUCCAUUAGUGGGAAGAUUCCUAAAGAAAUUUUUAAUCUUUGUAAACUCAAGUACCAUUUAACCGUCUUGCCAUCCACAAUCUUCCGAAUCUCCAAUUUGGAAUUUAUUAAUCUUUUAGGGAACCAGUUAUCUGGUAACCUUCCUGUAUGCUGCUAUCCCAAAAGUCUCGUACAGCUUCAUCUAUCAUAUAAGUAUAUAACCAAUUAAAUAGUCAAAUCCUUUCAGGUUUAUCACAAGGCUCAGGACUCGAGGUAUCAUCUUUGUCAUUCAACCGGUUCAACGGGCACAACCAAAAGAAGUUGGGACCUUUUUCUGAGUAAUAACCAACUAUUUGGGCAAAUCAAGGCAAACUUGUGCAGAUGCUCAUCACUCCGCAUCUUGUCAUUGGAGGAUAACAAUUUGGGUGGAUCAGUACCAAGGGAGAUUGGAAAUUUAACUGCGCUUCAAUAACAAUGGCCUUACAGGUACCUCAGUCAUGACAAUGCUCUUAAUAUACUUCAGUGCAACAAAUUGGUCAGAACUUCCUAAAUUUCAGCCAUUUUAUAGUUCUGUAGAAUUUGUUAACAAAAUAUGCUUGAACAAAUAUUAUUGAAUGGAUGGUUUUAUCAUUUUUUGUUGGUUCAACUAGUGAAUGAUUAAUCCAAAAUUAUUUAAAUGGGAAAAUUUGCCUUUUAUAAAUUGGAAUGGACAAACUGCAGAAAAAUGAGCUUCAAUGGGGCUUUUUUUUUUGGGGGAUCUUUCAGUCUUUGUACAUUCUAUCCAAUUUUGAAUUUGCAGGUGAAAGACCGAAAGAGAUUGGUAAUCUCCAAAGCCUUGAAUCAUUAUUCAUGGCAAAUAACAUGCUUUUGGGAUCCAUGUCGAUGGAAAUAUAUAACAUGUCCGAGUUACGAGAAAUUGGCUUUGGUAAUAACAGCCUGUCUGGAGCUCUUCCAAAAUGUAUAUGUGACCAGCUUCUUGAACUUGAAAGUUUAUAUCUACACAGAAACAAUUUGGACGGCCAACUGCCAGAAAACUGAUUCAAAUGUUCCACACUUGAAUCUCUGUACCUAGGGAACAAUAAAUUCAAUGGACAAAAAAUAUAUAUAUACACAGUAACACUCUUAAAAACACCCAAAACAAUGCUAGAAAAUAAUUUUAAAAAACCCAAAAAACAAAAAACACACCAACAUGCAAACACGCAUGUAGCCCUUCUCCCUAUAUUACCAUUUUUCACCCUAUCCCAAAUCUUCCUCUGCCACUUGCCACCACUUCUCCCUCCUCCCCUCUAACAGAUCCUACUAGUCUCUUAACCCUACCACUACUAGGAAGGGGAAUUAUUGGAGGAGGGUUGAGGAAAAAUGUGGAGUCUAAAGUGUAAUUGAAUUGAGUUGAGUCGAACUCGACUCUCCUAGCUAGAGCUCUUAAAAGUUGAGUUUGAACUUGAGUCCAAUUCAAUUUUAUGUUACUUGAGCUCGAGCUCGAUCUUGAUUCGUUUAGUUUAAUCAGGUUCAACCGAGCUCAUAUGAGCCUAAUCAAGCUUAAGUGUUAUAAAUUAAUAUUUAAUACAAUUUUUUUAAAAAAAAUAGACACUCCAAACUACAUAUAUUUAUUAAUUUUUGAAACUCGAUUGAGAUCGAUUAAACUUGAUGAGCUAUCGAUCCUCGUAUAUAAGACUCUUCAUAUAUAAGGCUCAAACUCGAGCCCGUUAAUAUAUUUAAGUUGUCUGAACUCAACUCAAGCUCAAGGCUCAGUUAAUGCGAGUUCAAGUUUUUAUUUUGACCAAAUAAACUCAUACGAACAAGUAAAUUUUUGGUCAACAUUUUGCAGAAUUGUAUGUUUAAUAUGAUUAAGCGAUUGCAUGAGAACUGAAAUUCUCGACUUGUGGUUUUGCAGUCAUCACUUUUUGUAAAAUGGAAACAGAAGCUUCCUGUUUUCAUCAUUGUAUUCUACACUCUUUGUAGUGUUCAUUUAUUUCUUGAAGUCAAUGGGGCCCAAUUUUGACCAAUUUAUUUGCAGCUAUUGGUGGUUGAUGGUAGUGAAACUUAUGUCCUAGACAGCUGGUGUCCAGUGCCCGCAAGGGUCCGAGUCCCGUGAUUAUCAUGUUCGGGGGAUGAGGCCUCUCCUCCUGGAUCGGAGUGGGAUUAGUCGGGCCCGUCCGGAUUGACCCGGACACCCACUCCGUCAACAAAAAAAAAAAACUACUUGUACAAUACCAAGUUAUAGGCUAAUAGCCUAAAAUAUCACUAUUCAACUUGGCUAUCAAACCACAUCAUUGCAGCCAUAAAUAUGCCGGAGAGCCUGCAAACAACAAUCAAUGAAUACAUUUUCAGUUCUUGCCUUCUCCCCAAAUUAAUUUUUAUACCUACCAAUUUUCAUUUCGAGUUGACUAAAGUCAACCAUUGCUAGAUGAUGAGGUUUAAAUACCAAGGGGAUUGGAAAUUUAAUCUAUGCUUAAUAAGCUGCAUCUAGAUGAUAGCUAAUUUGACAGGUAUGCUAAUUUUCAAUUAAGUGUAGUCUUGAAUGUGGUGUAACUUUUGGAGUAUAUUUAAAUGAGAUUGGCUAGCAAGUACAUUAUUAAUUUUUUUUUUAAUAUUCUUGUAAUUUAACAUUUAUUACAAUUAAGGAAUCAUAAUCAAAGGAAAAAGGAAAGGCAACCUUUUUCCAUCUUACAUAAUAGUGAAGCUAUUUAUGGUGCCACGACACUUUGUAAUUUACCAAUUUCUGUACUCGUUUCUAUGUUUUGUGACACUGAAUUCUCCUAUCAAGAGCUUCUUCCACUAAUAUGAAGUAGUUUUAACGAAGUUUUCUAUUUAAGUGUAAUUGGCAUGGACUCACUUUAUGUAGUUUUGUCAAGGGUUGCACGAGAAUUUGAAAAAAAAAAAUUAACCGCAUUUCUAUGAAAGUCAUGCACGUAAUGGGUAUGAAUUUUGAGGAAAAUUAAUUCUAAUUAAUGAAAUCACAUUGGUUCUCGUAAAGCUGAUAAAGUUUCAACAGAUGGAAAUGUACUUGUCGUCUAAAGCUUGGCAAAGCUAAUCAAAGAGGAGCCAGAAAAUAUCUUUAAAGUAGCCUUGCUUAGGUAUCAGAAAUUACACUUACUCUCUUGGCGACACAAUACUAUAACAAUCUUGAAAAGAAUACUAAUACCCAAAUUUGCAAAAACCUAAAAGCCAAAACAAAAGAGAGAAAAUAAUAAUUAAGAUCAAUGAUGAUUGAAAUAAAAUUUUAAAACCAUUUAAGUUUAUUUUUGCUAAAUUCGAGCACAAUUUGAGAUGAUGUCAUCAUUUGGGCUUAUUUUGUCUAAAAAUACGAAUUUCAAAUUUGAGGAACGUAUAUGAAAUUAUGCUAAAUCUUUGGGAGAGAUGUAAGGAGUUAGCCCUAAAAUGUGAGUGCAGUUGUUAUUGCAAAUUUCCAUCAAAGUUCAAAAAGAACCACACUUCUUUUUGACUGAUUUAGUGUUUUCAGUUAGCAAGAGUAUAUCUGUUGUACUAGUACAUAAAUCACAUGGUGGAACUGGAACUUAAGAGAACUGAUGGUUUUGAAUAAAACCAUUAGUUUGUUCAUAACAUCUAACGGUGGUUCCUUUCACCUUUGGUGGUUCCAUUACGUGAUGUACACUUCGUAUUUUGAAUGGUAAAAUAAGCCAAAUUUUUCUAUUGUUUAAGUCGUCAUCAAAGUUGAAUCUUAAGUUUCUACCACUCAUAUAUAACAUCAACUAAUCAAUAAAAAUCUGUAGUUUCCACAAGUCUUUACCAAAAUUUCCAUGUCAACUGACAUGUCAAACUCAGAGAAGAUCAUUUUUUCCACAAUUAAGGAAUCCUAAUCAAAGGAAAAAAAGGGGAAGAGAGCCUUUUUCCACCUUGCAUUAAUUUUGGAAGACAUAGAUGUUAAAGUCUUACAUACCUUUCUUGAGGUUUAGCCUUGUUUAGGUAUCAAAAAAUUACACUUGCUCUCUUAGCAAGGCAAUUGCUAUGAUAACCUUGAAAAGAAUACUUAUGCCCAAAUUUGCAAAAAUCAAAAAGCAAAACAAAAACAGAAGAUCGAGAACAUAAUAUGAUGAUUGAAAUAAUUUGUUUAAAACCACAUGAGGGUAUUGCAAAUUAGAGUACAAUUUGAUGAUGUCAUCAUUAAUUUUGGGUUUGUUUUGUUUAAAAAUGCAAAUUUCAAUAUCCGAGAAAUUUUCAUCAAACUAUGCUAAAUCUUGGAGGAGAUGUAAGGAAUUAUCCUGUAAAUGCAAGUGCAGAUGCUAUUGCAAAUUUCCAUCAAAAUUCAAUGUUUUAUGAAGCUAUGCUAAAUCUUUUUGACUGACUUGGUGACUUCUGUUGGCAAGACUAUAUCUAUUGUGCUAAUACAUAUGCUAUAGGGUAAAUUACAUAUAACUCUCUUGUGGUUUUGUCUAUUGCCACAUGAUUUCCUAACAUUUCAAAAUGUUCACUUCACCCCCAAUAAUUUUUUUGUCAUAAAGUGGAAACUUGACAAAAAAUAACCUAUGCAAUGCCAUUAAUUGAAAUAUCAAUAGCGCCCUUAUUUAAAUGCUAAAUCAAUUGCUGACUUAACUACCUUAUUUAAAAGUAUAGGAAAAUAAAAAUUACGUGGACAAAUGCAAAAAUCGUAGGGGGAUAACGUGGAUAUUUAUACAAACAAUAAAGAAGUUAUAUGGAGAUUAAAAUUUUAUCGCACACGCUUUUAGAGCAUGUUGGUAUAGAUAUCGUAACUAAUUGUGCAUAUAAAAUCAUAUAGGGGUUCUACAACUAUUUUGAAACCUUAGAGGGGUUAUUUGGCAUCACGUAAAAUCAGAGGGGGAUUACAAGUAAUUUACCCUAUAUUAGAUGGUGGGACUAAAACUUAAUAGAACUGAUGGAUUUGAUUAAAACCAUAAAGGUUGUUCAUAACAUCUAACAGUAAUUUUACCUUUGACGGUUCAAUAAUGUGAUAUGCAUUUCAACUUUUGAAGGGUGAAAUAAGCCAAGUCUUCUUAUUGUUUAAGUCGUCAUCAAAGUUGGAUAUUAAUUUUUUUUUUUUAGUUGGAUAUUACGAUUCUACCGCUCAUAUAACAUCAACUAAUCAAUAAAAAUCUGUAGUUUCCACGAGUCUUUGCCAAAAUUUCCACGUCAACUAGCAUGUCAAACCUAGAGAUGAUCUUCUUUUUUAUCCCACAAUUAAGGAAUCCUAAUCAAAGGAAAAAAAAAAGGGGAAGAGAGCCUUUUUCCACCUUGCAUUAAUUUUGGAAGACAUAGAUGUUAAAAUCUUUCAUAUUGUUUGAUCAAAUCAAUCUUUUUGUUUCCAUUCCAAUUAUGAGACAAGUCUAGGUUUUCAUCUUUCAUUUGUCUAAACUUUAUUUAUUUCUCUGGACCUUCCACUGACAUUUGAUAUUCUAAUCAAAUCUUUUCUUGGUUUCUAACAUUUUUCUUCAUGAUUUUUCCACACUUCCCCACCUUCAUUUCCGUUGUAGAAAGACAUACUUCCCAUUCAUUUUAUUUUGGAUUUUCAUCUUGUACGAAACCGUACUUAAAAUAGCAUUACACAAUAUGAUUAAUUACAUGGCCAAUUCUCUCCAACUUUAUACAUUCCAUCAAAAUAUUUUUCAUGCUUUUGUCUUCUUCUUUUUUUUGGUUUUUUAGCCCUAAGAACAUCUAUUUUAGAGGGAUUGAAUUUGAAGUUCAUUCUCUUUUCUUUCUUUGUUUUGUUGUUAUCUAAUGAUAACCUUUUUUUUCCUCCUAUUCUCUUGUUUUUCUUUAAGAUUACGGAUAGGAGAAUGUUUUUUUAAGAUUAGAGAUGGGCAUUUCACUGCCCAAUUCUUGCUAGGCAUCAAACUAACAGGUUUAGAGUGUUGGGUUUCCUUACAGAGACGUGUGUUAGGUAAGGAAAAUUAUAUUUUAUUCAAUCUGAUUGUUGAAAUUGCAGCCGAUAUUUCACUUCUUUGCCCUCCAUUACUCGUGGAGCCAUUGGCGACUACUCAAGGCAACAUAUGUAAUUAAGAAUUCAAGAAAUUUAUCUAGGUUUCAUUUCAUGUAAUCAAUAUGAUUCAACUAUUGAACCAAAUCGGAUGUGUUGAUUUUUUUUCUUUUUUUUUAUUUCUUUUGGUCCGAAAGGUUCUUGUAAAGAUGAUUGGUUCCUCAUGUGUAAAGCUUUUUUUUUUUUUUUUUGAACAACCUCAUGUCUAAAGCUUGACCAGAGAUUUUAAUUACAGGUGCAUACAUUGUUGCAAGUUGCAACUGUCCAUAAAGUUAGAAUCUUGGGGUGGGAUGACUGUAAAACCAAUAUAAUAGUGCCCGAAGAGACACUAAAACAAUGUUUAUUCUAUGCAUAAAGCUUGAGCCUAUUUAUGGUGCUAAUUUUGUGCAGACACUAAAACAUUAUGCCAGAAGAGACGCUAAAACAAUCUUUAUUUUUUGCGGUACUGCCAAAAUUUUGUAAUUCACCAAUUUUUGUACUCGUUUGUAAGUUUUGUGACACUGAAUUCUUCUGCCAACAACUUCUUCCACUGAUAUAAAUUAGUUUUAAUGAAGUUUCCAAUUUAAGUAUAAUUGACUUGGUCUCGCUUUAUGCAGUUUUGUCAAGGGUCACACGAGAAUUUAAAAAAAGAAAAAACCGCGUUUUUAUGAGAGUCAUGCAAGCACUAGGGUAUGAAUUUUGAGGAAAAUUAAUUCUAAUUAGAGAAAUCAUAGUGGUUUUUGUAAAGGUGAUAAAUUUUCAACACAUGGAAACAUAUUCAUCGUCUAAAGCUUCAGCAAAGCAAAUUAAGGAGGAACCAGAAAAUAUCCUUAAAGUGGUUUAAAUUCAGGAAUAACUUUACAUACCUCCCUUGAGGUUUAGCCUUGUUUAGGCAUCUAAAAAAUUACACUUACUCUCUUGGCGAGACAGAUGCUAUGAUAACCAUGAAAAGAAUACUUAUGCCUGAAUUUGCAAAAAUCAAAAAACAAAAAAAAAAAAAGCAAGGAAACAAUAAUUAAGAUCAAUGAUGAUUGAAAUAUUUUUUUUUAAAACCACAUAUGGGUAUUGCAAAGUAAGAGUACAAUCUGAUGAUGUCAUCGUUAAUUUUGGGUUUGUUUUGUUUAAAAAAGCAAAUUUCAAUAUCUGAGGAAUGUUUAUGAAACUCUACUAAAUCAUGGGAGAAAUGUAAGGAAUCGUCCUUUAAAUGCAAGUGCAGAUGUUAUUGAAAAUUUCCAUCAAAGUUCAAUGUUUAUGAAGCUAUGCUAAAUCUUUUUAACUUAGUGACUUCUUGGCAAGACUAUAUCUAUUGUGCUAAUACAUAUGUUAUAGGAUAAAUUACAUAUAACAAUCUUGAAGCUUCUCUAUUGCCACAUUAUCUUCUGAACAUUUUAAAAUAUCCACUUCACCCGCUCUGAUUUUAUUGAAAGUGAAAAUUUGACAGAAAAUAAUCUUAAUGCCAUUAACUGAAAUACCAAUAGUGCCCUUACUUAAAUGCUAAAUCAAUUGACAGUUUAACUACUUUGUAUAAAAGUAUAGGAGGAUUGCGUGAAUAAAUGCAAAAGUCAUAGGGGAAUAAAGUGAAAAUUUAUACAAACCAUGAGGAGGUUACAUAAAAAUUAAGAUUUUAUUGCACGUGCUUUUGAGCAUUGUUUGGUAUAAACACCGUAACUGAUUAUGCAUUCUGUCCAUCUUUCACUUUACAUAAAACCAUAGAGAGAUUAUGUGACUAUUUGAAAAUCGCUAGGGGGUUAUUUGGGAUUAUGUAAAGUCACAGGGGAUUGUAGGUAAUUUAUCCUAUAUUAUAUUGUGGGACUAAAACUUAAUAGAACUGAUGAAUUUGAAUAAAAACCAUAAAGUUGGUUCAUAACAUCUAACGGUAGUUCCACAUUUGCCAAGUCUUCCUAUUGUUUAAGUCGUAAUCAAAGUUAAAUAUUAAAUUUUUUUCUAGUUGGAUAUUAAGUUUCUAUCACUCAUAUAACAUCAACCAAUCAAUAAAAAUCUGCAGUUUUCACAAGUCUUUGCCAACAUUUCCACGUCAAUUGGCGUGCCAAAUAUGGAGAUGGUUUUUUUUCCACAAUUAAGGAAUCCUAAUCAAAGGAUAAAAAGGAGAGACAACUUUUUUCCACCAUGCAUUUAUUUUGAAAGACAUAGAUGUUAAAGUCUUUCAUAUUGUUUGAUAAAAUCAAUCUUUUUGUUUUCAUUCUUCUUGUGUGACAAGUCUAACUUUUCAUCUUUCAUUUGUUUAAACCUUAUUUAUUUCUCUAAAACUUCUACUCAUAUUUGGUUUUUUUCUAAUCAACUCUUUCAUUGUUUUCUAACAUUUUUCUUCUUGAUUUUUCCAUGACUUUUCCCAUUCAUUUGCAUUGUAGAAAUAUAUACUUACGUUCCAUUUUAAUUGGAUUUUCAUCUUGUAAGAAAGUAUACUUAAAUUUGUAUCACAAAGUUAUUAAUAGCAUGAUCAAUCCUAUCGAAGAGGAUAUGUUAGCAAUAAAGUAUUUGGAUAUGCUUGGGCCAUUUAAAAUUGGCUAAAACCUGGUUGCUGAUAUGAAGAGUCAAACGAAACUAGUUUUCAUUUAGUUUAAGUCGUGAUCAAAAUUGGAUAUUAAAUUUCUGUCACAUUAACUUAUUAAUAAGAAUGUUUUAGUUUCCACAAGUCUUUGCCAAAAUUUCCACGUCAACAGGCGUGUCAAAUAUGGAGAACCAAUAGGAGUCAUCUGUGGUAGGAAGGUAGUGAUGUUCCUUCCUACCGUAGCACAUCAUGAAAGCAUUCUCGGUGAGAACUGAGAAGUCAAGCCCACGCCUAAAUUCCCACGGCGAAGAAGAAAUAUUUGAUGUGAUUUGUGGCAGGCCCCAUUGAUAAAUGAAUUUCAUAUAAAAUUUGUAUUGUUAAUGUAAACAAAACAAAUUUUCACAGUAUAAUUUUUACAUUAGUAGUUAUAAUGCUUAAGGCUGAUUGUGUUGAAAAGUAAAAAAUAAAAGUAAAAUGAAUAGUUUUUUUGACAAUUUGUAUUUACGUAGUUUAAUUAAAAGUGCCUAAAUACACGGGUAAAAUUUGAUGGAUUAAAAAUAACUUAAAAAAUGAACUUCUUGGUCGAAAUAUUUAAGAAUUGUAUAUUUGGAAUGAAUGGAUGUUUCGCAUGAUAGAGAAAAAUACAAACUUUUGGCGGGCUUGCCACUGUUAGUGCCAUAAAUCAAAGUUAAUCUCUCUAUUCUUACUAGGAAAAUUCAGUCGUAGGAAAAUUCGUCAGCACGCGUUCCCACUGUGGGUUGUGGAGAUGGUCUGUCUUUCCCUCCACACAAUGUCAUUGUUAGAUAGAAUCCAUUUCAUAAUCAUAAAUGCUAUAGUAGUUGACAGCAUUUGAUCUUGAGAUACAUAUAUGGCAUCUCAAUGGAAGUAUAUAUAUAUACUUACUUCCCCAUAAUAGUAGUAUAUGCACACUUACUUCCCCAUCGUCAGCUCUAUUUGUAAGCUUAGUCAAAAGAAAUGGAGAGAGCAUGCUAUUACUUUCCUGUAGGACUUUUAUUAGCCACUUCUCUGUUAGCCGUGGGCACAGCCGAUAUCAUAAAUGAUAAAUCUGCCCUUGUAGCUUUCAAAAAUCACAUAGUUUCUGAUCCUCACUUAAUCGUGGCAAAAAAUUGGUCCAUUUCUUCCUCUGUCUGCGAUUGGAUCGGAGUUACAUGUGAUUCUAGUCGUCAAAGAGUGAUGGCCUUAAAUAUUUCUAACAUGGGUUUUGCAGGCACUAUUCCUCCACAACUGGGAAACCUCUCAUUCCUUGUUUCUCUCGACAUGAGCAACAACAAUUUUCAUGGUCAUUUGCCAGAAGGGAUGUCUCAUUUGCGUCAACUAAGUUUCAUGGCUCUAAGCAACAACAAUCUCACGGGAGAAAUUCCAUCAUGGUUAGGUGUCUUGGAUAGGCUUCAAUACCUAUCCUUGAGAAAGAAUAAUUUUUUUGGUGAUCUUCCUGCUAACAUAUGCGACAAUCUUCCAAAUCUAAAAGAGCUCGAUCUGUCUGUGAAUGAAAUGAGUGGCCAGAUACUAUCAGGUUUAUCAAACUGCUCCGGACUCAAGUCGUUAGAUUUGUCAUUCAACCAGUUCAAUGGUUACAUACCAAAAGUGGUGGGGAACUUGAAAAUGCUUGAGGAACUACAUCUCGGCGAUAACAACUUGAAAGGUUACUUUCUUUUUUUCUUAUUCUUUAUUCAGUUCCAUAUUUACAUUUUCUCACUGUACAAGUAUCUUAAUUUCUUGUGCUACAAUCUCUUGAUCUUUGGCCCUUUAAACAUUUAUUUCAAAUUAAAGAGAUUUAGGUGAUCCCCUAAAAUGAAAUUCUGAAUCUACCCACGAAAGCAGCAACACGGUUCUAUGCCACCCACAAUCUUCAAAAUCUCCACAUUGGAAUUUGUUGAUUUUGCAGAAUAAAAAUUAUCUGGUAAUAUUCCUACUGAUAUAUGCCACAGUGUUCCAAAUGUAAAAGAGCUCUAUCGCCUUUGGAAUCAGUCGAAUGGUCAACAAAAUGCUCUGGACUUUGGGGUAUUGUGUUUUGUCAUUCAACCAGUUGGACGGAUACAUACCAAAAAGAAGUUGGAUAUUUGAAAAUGCUUCAGUAUCUAUAUCUUGGCAUUAGGCUUAUUGUAUUAGAAGGGUAUAAUUGUCUUUUUAAUUGAACCACUAGCAAGGGACCAAAAGUAAAUGAAAAUUAGUGCUAAGGUCAACCAUAGCUGAUACCAAACAUCAGGGAGGAAUUAUGUAUUUAUAAUUAAAAUUAUUCUCUAUGUAUUGCGCUAUUUAAAUUUUGUCACGGUACAAUCUCAAUUCUUGUGCUACAAAUCUCUUUGAUUUUGGGCAGUUUAUAUCUAUAGAUAAACUUUUUCGAAAAAUUCUUUACGUAGGGAUCAACAAACUCAACGGGCAAAUACUAAGGGGGGAUUGGAAAUUUGUUAAUCUACUAUGCUUAAGAAGCUGUAUCUAGAUGAUAGCUAAUUUGACAGGUAUAUAUGUUAGUUUUCAACGAGUUGUAAUCCUGAAUUUGGUGCAACUUUUGGAGUAUUUUUAAAUGCGAUUGGUUUUUGUUCAUGGAUCCACAGGUCCCAUUCCAAACGAGAUUGGCAACUUGCUCAAAUUGGAGAUCCUUGACUUGGGAUGGAAUAGCUUAAGUGGUUCGAUACCAGUUUGGAUCUUCAACAUGUCAACUCUGAGGAUGCUCGACCUUUUUGGCAAUCAUUUAUCAGGCGUUCUUCCAUCAAAUAUGUGCCAUGGCCUGCACAAUUUGGAAGAUAUUCAUCUUGGUAGGAAUAACUUCAGCGGAGCCAUACCCGCCUCUAUUUCAAACUGUUCGAAACUAACUGGAAUAUUUCUUGGUGGUAACAAAUUCAGCGGUCCAAUUCCCAAUUCCAUUGGAAAUUUGAGACGCCUCGAAUUUCUCUCUCUGAUUGCUAACAAUUUGACGAGUGAAUCUUCAUCCCCAGAAUUGGGCCUCUUCACUUCCCUCACAGGUUGCAUCUCUUUAAGGUAUAUCAGUGUGGGAGACAAUCCGUUAAAUGGGGUUCUUCCGAGAUCCAUCGGGAAUCUUUCUAUUUCUGUUGAACUGUUGGAUGUAGGGAACAGUGGACUCAGGGGGAACAUUCCAGACAGCAUUGGAAACUUGAGCAAUUUAAUUUUUUUGGGUCUAGGUGACAAUAGCUGGACUGGAUCAGUUCCGACUGCGAUAUGGGGUUUGCAAAAGCUUCGGUAUUUGGAUCUUAGCAAUAUUUCCCUCACUGGUCCGCUCUCUCGUGGUCUCUGUGGAUUGCAGAGUUUGGAGGAUUUAGGCCUAAGUCAAAAUCAGAUUAGCGGGUCAAUUCCAGGAUGUUUCAAUAACCUUACAUCUUUGAGGUAUCUUGACAUAGCUUUCAAUAGAUUAACCUCUACUCUGCCGAUGAGCUUGUGGGAUCUCAAAGGUCUCCAGGAGGUCAACUUGUCGUCGAAUUUAUUGAGAGGACCCUUGGCUCCAGAGAUGGGAGAAUUAAAGAAUUUGACAAGGUUAGACUUGUCAAACAACCAGUUUUCAGGCAAAAUCCCCAGCACCAUUUGGAGUUUAGAGAGUUUGGACCGCCUUUCUUUAGCAAACAACAGCUUGCAAGGAUCAAUUCCGAACAACUUUUGAAUUGGUACCUUUGAAUUUGGGCCUAGAAAACUGGCCCAUUACAGAGUAACUUCUCUUGUUGGAUCCCCAAUAUACUUAAAUGUUCACUUUUAAGGGAUUAAGCGGUGACUUAUGUAUUCUUGCUCUGUAUUAAAUUAAGGCUUGUGUAGACUUUCUUGGUUCCAAUAUGCACCAUACCUGGCUUUUCCAAACAAUAAAAUCAAGCACAAUAAAGGUGCGUAUGCAUAUAUUUAUUGUGCCAGAACUAUUCUGAUUUUUUUUUUUUAUAAAAAAUUCAAUUAGGAAGUGAAAGUUUCUCUUAACUAACAAAAGAUAUAAAGAAAAUAAAUGUUAUUGUUACAAUGUUAGCCCAUGGAAAAAAA